UUUUUUUUUUGUGAGAGAGUAAAGUCCAAAUUCUUUGUAAUAAAAACUUGAAGAAGAUUAUCCAGUUGCACAAAAUGCGAAGGAAAAAGUCUAAAUGGCUUUUUCAGAAAAUAAAAUAUAAUUAAUUGUUUAGAUGAGAACCAAAUCUACACGUUAUUAAUAGACAGAAUCUGGAUUUUCGGUACUAACUAGUAUUAAUUAAUCUAUAAAUAUAAUAAAAAGACAAAAUUGUAGUUUAAUUUAAAUAUUUGAAGAACGUGUAUGUGUUAUCUCUAUGCUUUAGACGAACAUUUAAAAUUUUAUCAGCUUUUACGCAAAAAAUCUAAUUGUACCACCAGUAUUUAAUAAUGUUUCGAAACUUUCAUGAUCAACCAUAUAAUAACUGCUAAAGUUCAACAAGAAACUGAGAUCUAUGUUUUCUUAGGAGAAAAGAAAAGUAAUGCCUCUUUGAAUUUUAGUUACAAUAUAAUUGUUGUAACCAUCUAUAAUUACAAAAUAAAAUAUUGUUGGGAGUCUUGACCCAACAAACGUGAGAAGCAUUUAAGUGUUUUUUUGUUGUUGUACAAUCCGAAAAGUGAAACAAUGUAAGACUAGUAGCAUAAUUAAUUAACGGUGAAAUGAUGACAUAAUGAGUCAUUCUUUUGUCCUUUUUAUUAGAGAAUCAAGUAAAAAUGUCCAUUAAUUCUGUUUUAAUGAUCUGAAAAAAUGUACCUUAUGUUUUUUCGUCGAGGUUAUAUAUUCGGCUGUGAAUCCGCAGAUAUGUAUUAACAAAGCUUUCUCACAUGAUCACAUCUACACACUUCCUCUCACGUCGUUAACACCAAGACAGAUGGAGGAUUCGUUUGGUUCACUACUAUUAAAACAAAAGUAGGCCACAGUUUUGAGAUAUGGAUAAUUUGGUGUAUAAAAAUAAUAAAUCUAUUUAAAUAAAUAGCAAUAUCGGAGUUUAACAGUAAAUUCAGCAUGUGAUUUUGAUAAUUGUAUUUUAAAAAAAUAUUUUUAUUAUAUUACAUCAAUAUAGACUGCAAUAGAUUAUACGUAUUACAUGGCCAAAUCAUAAGUCCAUUUGAUAAAUUAAUUGUCUAUACAGAAAAAAAUUACAAUUUAUUACCAUGUAUUACAAUUUCUGUUUAAUACAACUGGGCUGGCCAACUUUUAUAUGAAUGACUUCCAUUUAUUACAAAUUUACAAUGGGCAACAUACAGAUUUUGAAGAAGUUUAUACAUUACAGAUAGUACCAUGACACAGCAAAAGCACUUAAGAUCUUCGAAGGUAGGGAAUGAAGUUACCUUCCACCUUAUGUGCUUGAACCAGAGGGUCAAUGAUUUUUUUCCAUCCUCCAAAGUUUGAGGGGGAAGCAGCAUCAGACAAUACAAACCCGUUAACGUAGAAGGUUGGUGUCCCAUAAACCCCUCUUGAACCGCUAUACUGCAACACACAACGCCACAGAAAGUAAAAUAUGAACUAAAAGUUACUAUUGUUCGUUUUCAGGUAACAUCGAGAACAGCCACGGGGUAUUAUCGACAAAUAGGUCUCAAUUUAUACUUGAUAGGGUAAAGAUUCAGGCCAUUAAACUCAGUAUUCUUCUAUUGCCCUGACGGCUGACCCUACUCAUUUUCUUGUGAGAUAUAGAUGCAAGGCAGCAUAAUAAGAUGAUGACUAUGCAGCCAAUGACCUUCCUGUAAGAAAUUUUAGUUACUAAAGGAAUUACCUUGAAGGAAACCCUGGUAGCACGAUCCGAUUUUUUGUCGCUGAAGCCAGAUUUGAGGACCGAUUGAUAUGACUUUCCCAACGUGACUGUUCCAAGUUCGACUAUUUUCUCUACAACUGCAGCUCUUGUCAGGAGGUUUGUUUGCGCGUUGUAGAACAAUGGCUGUCAAAAGAACAAACAGUUUCAGUGAACAAGAUAAACAUUAAUAAAUGCAAACAAUAAACAGCAGCUUCAGAUAAAUUCACAAAUAGAUAAGUUUUAGCUCUCUACAAGAUGGGACAAGUUUUUAGUAUUAACAUUGAACAAACCUGAUGCUUGAAGAACCCUUCCAGUAAACUGAAAGUAGCAUUGGCGUUUACGGUAUUCACAAUGUGUAAGGCCCGAGAAGUUACAUAAGCAUUGUCAUGGUAGCUGCAAUAUAAGCCAUUAAAACCGAAAAAAGAUUGAUUACUAGAACAAAUAUUUGAAAAAAGAAUGAUUACAUAUGCAUUGUCAUGGUAGCUGCAAAUUCUAAAAGCCAAGAAAACCGAAGAAAGAUUCAUUACAGGAACAAAUAUACCUACAAAUCUCAAAUGAACCAUUCACAUUUUCAUGAAACUAAUCAUAAAACAGAUAAGGAAGGAAACAUAUUUUAAAGUCCAGACCUUUCUUAAACGUACUUGUCGAUCGAUUAUAAUAGUUCAAAUUAAUCAAUACAGGAAUUAUGAUAGAUUAUAAAAUGGCAUGUGGUAGCUACUGGUUCAGUAGAACAAAUUCAAUUUAAGCUCAGAACAAAAUUUGAAGGCGAAGAGAGAACUAAGAGUACUGACGGUAAAGGAAGGAGAUGGAGGAGAAAGGCAACGCGAGAUCCAUAGUGACGAAGAGCUUGCUUCAGAGGCGGCCAAGAGUCUCUACUGUCCGGGCAAACCGGGUCAAAAUACGCCUCAAUUAGUAUAGUAUCCGGGUCAAAACGAUGACCCGGUGGGUAAACGAAGCCAUCUUGCUUCACCGGCGGCACUAGCUGCGCUUGUACUCGCGUCUCAGUGACGAAGACGACAAGGAACAACAAAAUCGUUCGAAUCAUUAUUCUCUAGCUCACACUUUUUCUCUCUUCCCAGGAUCGCCGGAGAUUAUUAAAAACAGAGAGACGGUGUCGGUGAAUGUAAGCAACGGCUACGAUUACUCGGAAGCUAAGCGAGACAGACACUUCUCUUUCAUCUGUAACCGUUGAUUUCAUUAAUGCUGACGUGGCAGAAACGCAAUCUUGUAAUCGGACAUUUUUGCAAUUUAUAGAGUUUGGUCUUUAAAUGUAAAUAAACGUAAAUAAGAGCCUCUCUCUACAAAAAUGAGAUUUGAGAUAUGGUCCAACUACGUUCACAGAGAGACUCGUAAACCAUAACUCUCUCUCUCUCUCUCUCCUCGAAUCGAAACUUUCCAGGUACGUAUUUGGUUGGAUUUAGAUCAUCGGAAAAUUCUAUUGCGUCUGUUUCCUUUGUCCCAAGUUCUUUCACUUUCACCGGAUUUUCUAGUUUGUAUGAUUGGAUCGAAAUUUCAAUUGAUUUUGUAUUGUGGACUGCGUCGUUGAUUGAUUUCAGGAACAGCUUGAUUUGGUUUAUCUUUGAUCUGUGAAAAUGGGGACGAAUGAUCUCGACAUCGAAGAAGGGACUCUGGAGAUCGGCAUGGGUAAGUCACCGAUCAUGGAUCACACUAUAUUGAUUCAGAACUUAUCCUCCAAAUCUGGUUUUUAUAGGGAUUUUCUAGUACUCUGGCUCCUUUUGACCUUGCUUAUCUAUGUUAUUGACUCGUUUGCGUCUCGCUGAUGUUGUUAACUAUAUUUCUUUAGUAUAAGACUGAUUCAUGAAUCUUUUGAAUUGCACAGAGUAUAGAACUGUUUCUGGUGUUGCUGGACCAUUGGUCAUUCUUGACAAAGUGAAGGUAGGAAACAUCAUUUGACCGUUAAGCAAUGCUAAUUUACUUUGUGAGGGAAACUUAAUACUUGUUGUACUGUAAUGAUAAAUCAGGGUCCAAAGUACCAGGAGAUUGUUAAUAUUCGAUUAGGAGAUGGAUCAACGAGACGUGGUCAGGUUUUGGAAGUUGACGGCGAAAAAGCAGUUGUGCAGGUUUAGGAUUUUUUUGACCAUGUCACUUCAAACUUUGGAUAAUACGUAAACACAAACUAUGUGAAUCUAGUUACUUUUUCAGUGACUUACUCAUCUAAGGGUUUCAGGUUUUUGAAGGAACAUCUGGAAUUGACAACAAGUUUACCACCGUGCAAUUCACAGGAGAGGUAAUUUACCAUAAAUCCUGCGUUUUCGCAGAUUUGUUGAAAUGAUUGGUUAAUUUUUCUACUUCCUGCAUUUUUUUUUUUAAAACCGGUUUUGUGUGUUUUCAGGUUUUGAAAACUCCUGUGUCAUUGGACAUGCUUGGGCGCAUAUUUAACGGUUCAGGAAAACCGAUUGAUAAUGGCCCUCCUAUUUUGCCAGAGGCAUACCUUGAUAUCUCAGGUGAGCUUCAAAGAGGAAAAUUUCUCCAUUGAUGAGAUCUCUGAAGCAAUAUUCUGUCUAUGUGUUUUCAUUUUUUCUAAAAUGUGUCUGUGUGUUAUAUUUAUAGGAAGUUCAAUCAACCCCAGUGAAAGAACCUAUCCCGAAGAAAUGAUACAGACAGGAAUUUCCACCAUCGAUGUCAUGAAUUCCAUUGCUCGUGGACAGAAGAUUCCGCUUUUCUCUGCUGCUGGUCUUCCACAUAAUGAAAUAGCUGCUCAGAUUUGUCGUCAGGCUGGUCUUGUCAAGCGUUUGGAAAAGACUGUUGAUCUACUUGAGGUAAUCCUUUAUAAUUUGUAGUUGUACCACCACAAAUAUAUCUUUUAUUCCUCUAUGAUCAGAACAAUUCGCUAAAGCACUUAUUUGAGUUGUUACUGUUUCUACAUGUGUGUUCAUGGAUUUGUAGUUACAUCUAAAGGUCUUCAAUUUAGAUGCUCUAUGCUUAUAAAAGAAACUCAGUUGUUGUCAAAAUUGAAUUUCUUGUUUGUAGACAUUCCUAUUCAACGUUGGCUGUCUCAUAAUCUCAAUUAUUCUUUCUCCCUCUCGUGUUUUUUAGGAUCAUGGAGAGGACAAUUUUGCAAUUGUGUUUGCAGCUAUGGGUGUGAACAUGGAAACAGCUCAGUUCUUCAAGCGAGAUUUUGAAGAAAAUGGAUCAAUGGAGAGAGUUACUCUUUUCCUGAACCUGGUAAAUUUACUAAGUGUGACUUCUAUAGCUUAUUUCCAUAUCAUGGUGUUUUUUAGUAUUUUAUAUAUUUCUUAGCUUAAAACGGAUUUGACUUUCCAUUAUUCCAACAGGCCAAUGACCCAACCAUUGAGAGAAUCAUCACUCCUCGAAUUGCCCUCACAACAGCUGAAUAUCUGGCUUAUGAAUGUGGGAAACACGUCCUUGUUAUAUUGACAGAUAUGAGUUCUUAUGCUGAUGCUCUCCGUGAGGUAAAAUGAAUCUUUAAUACCGGAGUAGUCCCUUUAUAUCAUACCGUGUUUUUGUUUCUUCAGGUUUGAUAAUAAGAUUGAGAAACUGUAGGUUUCCGCUGCCCGAGAAGAGGUUCCCGGAAGACGUGGAUAUCCAGGUUAUAUGUACACUGAUCUUGCAACUAUUUAUGAACGUGCUGGGCGUAUUGAAGGAAGAAAAGGUUCCAUCACCCAAAUCCCAAUCCUUACUAUGCCCAAUGACGGUAGAAAACAUAUCUUUACCCAGAUUUCUAUUUUGUACUUUGAGAAAACUCAGUUCUGACUCGUUGUUUUUAAAAUAUUAAUCAGACAUCACUCAUCCAACUCCGGAUCUUACUGGUUACAUUACUGAAGGUCAGAUAUAUAUCGAUAGGCAACUUCACAACAGACAGGUAAGAAAUAACUCCCACCAGGAUCUGAUCUUACUGGUUUCGCUUAUAUUAUGAAUGCGGCCCUGAAUGAAUGUAUCUUUGUUUCUUCCUGAAAAACAGAUAUAUCCACCCAUCAACGUGCUUCCAUCCCUUUCUCGUUUAAUGAAGGUUAGAAUUCAACUCCAUUUUGUUUAAUACCAAAUGCAUUCUAUCUCCAGAUCUUAGUAACGUAUUGUUUCUCAUUCUGUUAGAGUGCUAUUGGUGAGGGCAUGACUCGUAAAGAUCAUUCAGAUGUGUCGAACCAGCUGUAUGCGAAUUAUGCAAUCGGGAAAGAUGUUCAAGCGAUGAAAGCUGUUGUUGGAGAAGAAGCACUUUCUUCAGAGGAUCUGCUUUAUCUAGAGUUUUUGGAUAAGUUUGAGAGGAAGUUUGUAAUGCAAGGAGCUUAUGACACACGCAACAUUUUUCAGUCGCUGGACUUAGCUUGGACAUUGCUCCGUAUCUUCCCACGGGAGCUUCUUCAUCGUAUCCCUGCAAAGACACUUGACCAAUUCUACAGCCGCGACUCAACCACUUAAAAUGAGGUAAUGGAGGUUAUCUUAUCGAAACUCUUUUGAGAAGAAAAGUGUGAAUUUUGUGAUGUGUAUUAUUUGGUGCGUAUUUUAUAGAGGAAAACAAAGAAGAGCUAUAUAUUCCGUCUCUCCAUAUCUGGUGAUAUUUUUUUUGGUUCUGUUGUGUUCCAAAGUGAAAAUAAAAAUCGAUAAAACGAUGUCGUAUUGUAUUACCUUCCCUUUUUUUGUACGAAUUUGUUGAGAUUGGUUCAUAAAUGGGAUUAUAAGUACAUACAUUGUCAAUCCAUUUUCUGGAUAAAGUAAAAGUGGUAAUUAGUAAUAGCCUUUGGAAAAUCUACUACGUUUGUAUCUUUAAAUUUGCACUUAGUAUUGUCGAAAACAAUCAUGAUGAGACGAUAGACCACCGAAAUAGAAUUAGAUUAGAUUAUUGAACUAAGCCUAGUUUUGUCCAGUUUCCAAUCAAUCGCAAUCUUCGUUAUCUAUAAUCAAUUAGUCAUCUAACUUUAGUUCACAAUUUUUGCUACUUUAAAAGCAACUUAAAUUUACGCGUUGAUUAAUAUUUUUGCAAAGGAAGAGGAGAACCUAGAGAGUCCCACUCCAAAGGGCCACAUUGAGGGAAAAUGAUACCCUAACCUUCUCUAAACGCAAAAGCAAAGCACCCCCACAUAACCAACCAAAGGCAACACUUUUUUUCAUUUCGUUUAAAUUUCAUUUUUAUGUAUUCAUCUUCCCUUUAUUUUUUUUUAAAAAGACAUCCAAUAUAAAGGACCAAAAGAUUAAGACCAAAGAGUCGACGACCGAUCUACUUUGCUCACAUGCUUAAAAACCAACAUAAAACGACCAAAAACAUUGGAACAAACUAUUUUCUUAGAAAAAAAAUUAUGGGUUUUUGCUUCUCCAAAUUCUGCAAAUCACAAACCCAUGAGAUCCCAAUCUCUUCCUCUUCCGAUUCUAGCCCUCCUCAUCACUACCAACCUCUCCCUAAACCAACUGUUUCUCAAGGUCAAACCAGUAAUCCCGCCUCCAAUCCUCAGCCCAAACCCAAACCGGCUCCUCCUCCUCCUUCAUCAUCCUCCGGUUCACAAAUCGGUCCAAUCCUAAACCGACCAAUGAUCGAUCUCUCAGCUCUCUACGACCUCCACAAAGAACUAGGCCGUGGCCAAUUCGGAAUCACUUACAAAUGUACGGACAAAUCCAACGGCCGAGAAUACGCCUGCAAAUCCAUCUCAAAACGUAAACUCAUACGUCGCAAAGACAUCGAAGACGUGAGACGUGAGGUCAUAAUCUUGCAACACCUUACUGGUCAACCAAACAUCGUCGAGUUUCGAGGUGCGUAUGAAGACAAAGACAAUCUUCAUUUGGUUAUGGAGCUCUGUUCUGGAGGAGAGCUUUUUGAUCGUAUCAUCAAGAAAGGAAGUUACUCUGAGAAAGAAGCUGCUAAUAUCUUCAGACAGAUCGUUAAUGUUGUUCAUGUUUGUCAUUUCAUGGGCGUUGUUCAUAGAGACUUAAAGCCUGAGAAUUUCUUGCUUGUUAGUAAUGAAGAAGAUUCUCCCAUCAAAGCAACAGAUUUUGGCCUCUCUGUUUUCAUCGAAGAAGGUAAAGUCAUCUUCUUGAUUACUUAAAUUAUGGGUGUUUCUUUUCUCGUGUUAGUAUAUUUUACGAACCAAAUUAAGUGUUUUGACUCUUGUUUCAAAGAUUAAUUUGUCUUUGCUUUUACAUUGAGUAGUUAGUGUGUUUUAGGAGAUAAACCAUAAUGUUUAAACUUGUGUUAGAAUCAAGAAAAAAGAUGAUAGCGACAUUGUAUCUCCGUGUGGGACACCAAGUCAACUUCGAAAACGACUUGGGUCAACCCAAGUCAACAGAUGUUUCCCACAAGAUUAAAAAUUGACAACAAGAAAGCAACAGAAAUCAUUUUAUAGGGAAAUAGUAUUCUUUUGAACAUUUUGAUUCACACCAAAAAAAAAAAAAAAACGAAUCUGUUUGAAUGCAAAUUAGCUAAAACUUUGGUUCUGUAUUUUGAAAGCCUUACAAGUAACCAUAUCUAUAUGAUUAAAAUUUGUAGGUAAAGUGUAUAGAGAUAUAGUUGGGAGCGCAUACUACGUUGCACCUGAAGUUCUACAACGAAACUACGGGAAAGAGAUCGAUGUAUGGAGUGCAGGUGUCAUGCUUUACAUUCUUCUCAGUGGUGUUCCUCCAUUUUGGGGAGGUAUGCAACAAAAAAAAAACACGAAUCUAAAGUCAAUAUAUCAUAUAUAUAGUUAGCUUGAAGAAUGUUGGAGACCUGAUAUUUGGUACUACUUAAUGUUGUUUAGAGACCGAGAAGACUAUAUUUGAGGCGAUCUUAGAAGGCAAGCUGGAUCUUGAAACUUCUCCUUGGCCAACUAUAUCGGAAAGCGCAAAAGAUUUGAUUAGAAAAAUGUUGACAAGAGAUCCUAAAAAGAGGAUUACCGCAGCUGAAGCACUUGGUAUGUUUGCAAUGAGUAUACAUUUGUAACAUAUUCUACCUCCUGCUCCUAAGUCCUUGCUAACUGAUCUUUUGUUGCGGAUUUUUAUCGGAAAAAAACAGAGCAUCCAUGGAUGACAGACAUCAAAAUAUCAGAUAAACCAAUCGAUAGCGCUGUUCUUAUUAGGAUGAAGCAGUUCCGCGCAAUGAACAAGCUCAAGAAACUUGCCUUGAAGGUAAAUUUAAAUGAUUCUCCAUCUCUAAAAUGAUUUCAAGAUCGAUAUGAAAAAGUUUAAUAUUCGUUGUAUUUUUUUUAUUUUUUUAGGUGAUAGCGGAAAACUUAUCCGAAGAAGAGAUAAAGGGAUUAAAGCAAAUGUUUAAGAACAUGGAUACAGAUGGAAGUGGCACCAUCACUUUUGAUGAACUAAGAAGCGGAUUACAUCGUCUUGGAUCUAAGCUUACAGAAUCUGAAAUCAAACAACUCAUGGAAGCUGUAAGAAAAGGAAACAAAUCCAAUUAGUUAGUUAUCAAACCAUGCAAAAUAAAUCUAAAAGCUAAACUUUGUCAAUGGUUUUUGUUCAUUUAUAGGCUGAUGUGGACAAAAGUGGGACGAUUGACUACAUUGAGUUCAUAACUGCAACAAUGCAUCGUCAUAGAUUGGAGAAAGAAGAGAAUUUGAUAGAAGCAUUUAAAUUCUUCGACAAAGACAGAAGCGGGUUUGUAUUCUUCACCCAAAUGAACACGAACUACUAUAUUAAAGAUCGAAUUGCCUUCAAAACAUACUCUUCUUUUUUCAAAAAUCAGAUUUAUCACAAGGGACGAGCUUAAACAUUCCAUGACUCAGUAUGGUAUGGGUGAUGAUGCGACCAUAGAUGAAGUUCUCAAUGAUGUUGAUGCGGACAAUGUAAGAAAAGACAUUUAUUUCUAGUUGUCUUUAUUACUGGCUAAAGAUGAUGAUGAAUGUUAAAGAAAAUGAUUAAUAAUGAUGAUGUUGAUUGAUAGGAUGGGAGGAUAAACUACGAGGAAUUUGUGGCGAUGAUGAGGAAAGGAACUACAGAUUCAGAUCCAAAGCUGAUUAGAUGAUAUCUUCAACUACAAUGAUGGGUGCUUUGCUUCUACUAUAUAUAAAGUAAACUAAUAAUAAACACGAAUGCAAUGAGAAUUAGUGCAUACAAAUGAAUUGUGUUGUACUUGCGUCAGUAUGAAGUAAAAUGAAAAAGGCCUUUUAAGGCCCAUUUAUAAUAGGCACAGCGUUUUAGAAGCUUUGUUCUUGUUUUUUAACGGCAUCAAAAGAAAGAGUGGGAAACCCUCUACUCUAUCUAGAGGCUUUUGAUUUUCUCUCAGAGAAGCGAAACAAGAUUUUUGAAGUUUGUCGACGAUGCUCUCAAUCUCUCAGCUGCCGAGUUUCUCGUUAAUCUCCGUCAAAUCUCUUCGUUAUCCUUCUUCUUCUCCUUCUUCGUCUCUCUCUCUCUUCUUCUCCUUCUUCCCUAGGGUUUCUAAUUUCGUCAGAGCAAGUUCCGGAAUCCCCAAUUUGGUCGCCUGUGGUCCGACGGAGAUUAUCAUCCCCAGAGUUAAUAACGCCGGACUCAGAAUCGAGGAGACAGUAGACGCCUUGAAAGGGAAGAUUCGUCUUGAUUCAUGGAUCUCUUCUCGUGUCAAUGGCGUUAGUCGAGCUCGUGUCCAGUCGAGUAUACGAUUGGGACUCGUUACCGUCAAUGGUCGAGUCGUUGAUAAGGUUUAACUUCGGAUUCGAUUCUUCAAAAUUUCAAUUUCUUAAUCAAAUUUCAAUCUCUCUCUCACUCUCUUCCAGGUUUCGCACAAUGUCAAAGCUGGCGAUGAGGUUAAUUGUACAAUUUCAGAACUUCAACCUUUGAAAGCUGAAGCUGAAGACAUACCAUUGGAUAUAGUUUAUGAAGAUAAACAUGUUCUUGUUGUUAACAAACCAGCUCACAUGGUAAUCUCAUUCUCUCAAUAUACUUAGAUUAUGACUUUAGAAUCAUCACUAAGAAUAUCUCUCCAAUUCUUAGGUUGUUCAUCCUGCGCCUGGGAAUCCUACUGGCACGCUUGUUAAUGGCAUACUUCACCAUUGCAGUCUUCCUUGUGUUUCUUAUUCCAACGCGGAAGAUGAUGAUUCCGAUGAAGAAACUUUUUCAGAUGAUGAAGAGAUGACGACUUCUUCUAGUUCAUAUGCUGCUUCUGUUCGUCCUGGUAUUGUUCAUAGGCUGGAUAAAGGCACAACUGGAUUGCUUGUUGUAGCCAAGGUUUGUGUUUUCUCUUCUUCUUUUUGGUGGCUGCUUUAUGAACUACUGUGAUUGCUUUUUAUUGUUUAACGAGAAAAGGGUAAUUGCAGGAUGAACAUUCCCAUGCCCAUCUAGCAGAACAGUUUAAGCUACACACAAUUGAGAGAGUUUAUGUAAGUCUUACUACUGGGGUUCCUUCUCCACCACAGGGGCGUAUUGAGAUACCAAUUGGUCGUGAUUCAAGUAAUCGGAUCCGUAUGGCUGCUAUACCUGGAGGAUUAAGCGGUGGAAGAGCCCGCCAUGCUGCUAGUAGGUGAUGAGAGCAGUCUUCUAAAAAUGCAUCAAGCAUUAUAACACUGCAUCUAUUCUUCAGAAUGAAAUAAAUCUCUCUUAAAGAGUGGUUAACUGAUACUGAUAUGCUCAAACAAUGCUCAUUUAUGUUGUCCUAGGUAUAAGGUAAUCGAAACAUUCGCUGGAGGUGGCUCUGCAUUGGUUGAGUGGAGACUGGAAACCGGCCGUACACAUCAGGUAUCGUUACAUUGUUCAGUAUGAAACUCUGUCCAUAUGAAGGAAUACUCAAAAUCUAUAUACUGUUUUUUAAUGUUUCACAUCGUUGUCUGUAAGAGCUUGAGUUGGCCUUUAUGUUUCUGUUACUGCCUCAAGUCAUCUGUUUGAUCCAGCUGCUUUGAACUUGUGAUCUCUGAAACGUUUCUCUUUUUCACCUUGAUUUGAAGUAGAUACGUGCUCAUGCUAAGUAUAUGGGAGUUCCUCUAUUGGGUGAUGAAGUGUAUGGUGGAACAAAAAGCAUGGCCCUUUCUCUUCUGCAGAAAAGAGUCUCCCGCAGUGAUCAAGAAGAGAUUGUAGAGCUGAUUUCCAGAAUGGAUAGGCCUUGCCUUCAUGCUAUAGUUCUCGGGUAAGAAAACUUGAAUCUCAAUCUAAUAUUCUAGAUUAGGAAAAACCAGUUAAUAACUGUUUUUUCUACUCUGUUUUCCUUGAUAGAUUUACACAUCCGUGCACUGGGGAAAUUGUAAAGUUUUCAUGUCCACCGCCUUCAGAUCUUGCAGAGAUAGUAGGCUUGCUUCGUAGAAGCGGAUUAGAAAAAGUAACCCAACACUCUCUGCUCUCUAGCUAACAUCACCAUACAUUCAGAUUUUGUUUUCGUUACAAAGCUUUUGGAUAUACUGAAACAUCGAACUGUUGUUCUUGCUUUCUUACAGGUAAAAUAAUCUCUCGAGACAACGAGACAUGUCUCAUCUAAACAAGGGAUAAUCCUCUCUGGGUCAUACUUGACGAAAGAAAAGAGUUAUUCUAAAAUCAAAAGCCUUUUUAAUAGCGUUGUAGAAGUGUAUACAAACUCUACAAUGACAUGAAGGAUAAUUUCACAAACGAAGGUGUGUAAGUGAAUUAUAACACUAAAAUGGCAUCAAACCCAAAAUGAUCUUUGAAACCAAAAAUCUUUCAGCUUCUUCUUCUUCUUUCAACCAUUUACCAAGAAGAAGCAUUCCACUUUAAACUCAAAAGGAUCAUUCGGUUGAAACAUUCAUGUCCUAUGAUCCGUCAAUUCAGGGUUGAUCGCCACGGCGUUUUUUCUCGAUCAUCUCCCUUUGCUUCUCCGCGAGCUUAUCUAAAGCAGACGAAACGGCGUCGCUUCCACCAAUCAGAAGCCUUGUGAUAACCUCCGGAUCCGUCUCAAAUCGGGCCGCUUCAAACUCCUUCCUCGCGUUCUCUCUCAACACGUCCCUCCAUAGGUUUCCCCUAGAAUCAGUCCAUGUGAAGAAUCGCGUCGCUCGUAGUAUGUCUCUGUACAAACUCAACGCUUCCCGGCGCGUGCUCGUCAGACGCCGUCUAUUCAAAAACUCGGCCUCAUCGUCGUCGAUUAUUGGUUUCUCUUUCUUCGCUAGAUGUCUAUCGAGAAGCUCCUCUACGGUGUCUGGACCUUCGUGCAAGAGACGCCUCGACGAUACAGCAUCUCUCCGAGACAUCAGAUCUAGACGACCGGCCAGAUUUCGCCAUUUCUGAAGCUUCGUAGCCAUCAUCUCUCUCUUUCUCUCAACACCAACAUUGAAAAUUUCCGACUCCGAGACCGAGAGGCAAACAACAUGCUCAAUAACAGACUGGGCUUCAAGUGAAGCUAAAAUUGUUUAGGCCCAUUUAAAACCCAAUUCUAAUAAGACGACGACGGAUAUAAUAAAAUUUGAGCCCAAAACGCACCACCACUUAGCGUUUUGGACCUCUGCGUUCUCCAGAGGCAGAGAGGGAGAAGUUAGCUUCCUCAUAUGGCGGGCGUUCAAAGAAGCAUUUUUCUAUUUCUUCCUCUGAACGUGAAACGUCAUGACUAAUCGCAAAGAUGAGAAUUUGAAAAAAGCUAUAAAGGUUUUAAAAAUGCUAAUAAGAAAAGGGUUCAAACAAACAAUCUUUUACGUGCAUUGAGAAGAAGAAACAUGGAAUUGCUGCACAAUCACAGGACAUGAAGUGUAAGAGUCUAAAACUCUAAAUACAGCAGAUGGGUAUGGAUAUUUGCCAGGUCAAACUCCAAAUACAUAGUUCUAACAACGAAAAGAGAAGAAGUCAGAAGACACAAAACGACUAAAGAGCUAUGUCAAACAGAUGAUGUUUUAAGCUAUUGAAUAAGUAUUAGAAACCAAAUGUUCUUUUACCUUCUACUUAAUUGUAGGUGAUGCAAUGUUAAACUCUUCAAAUAGAAUGUUUGAUCAGCUUUGUGUUUAGAACUCUUUCUUGCGUAUCUUCUUCAAAUUUAUAGAUUGUUAUUUUCAACAAGCAACCUCAUAUUCUCUUCUACCUGGAUUUGUAAGAUGUUUAUAAGAUAUCGGUUCUUUGACGUUUUUCCAAACAAUAUCACUUCUAUUUUAGUGAUGUUCUAUUGCAACCCAUCGAGAAAGUGUUUAAUCUCGCAUGAUAAGCUUUGUGGAUGGGUUGCAGCAGAAGUUGACUACAACAGAAAUUAUAAUGUUGCGUAUAACGUCGAGAAAUCUAAAAAUUAUCUUACAAAUCCAGGUAAAAUAUAUAUAUAUAUAUAUAAUGUUGCUCGCUGAAAAAUAUCAAUCAAUAGAGAUAAAGAACAUAUGCAAGAAAGAGCUUAACCACAAAGAUGACCAUCUAGCAUUGCAUCACAUUCGAUUAAAGCAGAAGCUACAAAAAAAUGUAAAAGAACAUCAUCUUACACCAAUACUAAUGGCCUUGCAUAUCCAACAUCUCGUCGAGUCCUUUAAUUCUCUCUAAACCUUCACUAAUCAGAUACCGAAUCUUUUGUUUGUCGUCACAGUCUCUGUUCUUUUCCAUCUCAUGCCUAACAGUCUGUUUCAAUUCCCCUACAAAACAUGAACACACGAAUCAAACAAAAGCUUAUCCUCCAAAAUCUACUAAACCCCUAGAUUUCGAGAUUUUGUAUCAAAUGGAUCUACGGUGAACGCAGAUUUCUUGUAUGUGAUGAAUUCAUAGAUAGACAAAGCAGAGAUAUGGAAUCGUUUUCAGGAAUAAGAAAUGAAUAUACGAACCUCUAACAUGAACAGGAGCUCUCUGAGCUACCUUCAAUGCUUGUCGGUAGAGUUUAAGCACUCGAGCCCGGAGGAUAAAGCUCUGCAGAUCCAAUUGGACCAUAAUUUAUCCCCAGCUAGACAAGAAUUGAUUCAGAAAUAACUGAAAUCGGCAAAUCCAAACCUAGGUUCCUGAGUUCAAGAAAAAAGAUGGGAGAAGAAGAGUCAGUCACGUGAGAAGCACGUGACGAAGAAUUAAUGAAAAGAUGUGCAAUAUGGUUAAGUGUAAACCGGUGUUUAGUAUUAACUGAAAUCAAAUUACUAUAGCUUGGUUUGGUACGAUUUGUGUUUUGGACCAAUUUGGUAGUCCGGUCCCAAUUACGGAAGUCCCUCCGAACCAUCGUGGUUUUUAACUGACUUAUAUUGCAAACAGAUACCAAAAUUAAUUAGGUAGCUUUAAAUAAAGAUUUAGUGGUUUAGCAUCGUGUUUCAAUUAUAUGAUUUUCUUAAUCCUGACCAGUGGUCAGUGGACAUAUUCGCAUUUUUUCUCCAUUGUUUUGGUCUAUUUAGUUUUUAUCACAUUUUCAGCCUAAUUUUAAAUCGUUUACUAUUGUUCGAGCCUUGGUGGACUACUAUAAUACUAUUCUCUCAUUUUAAUAUUUUAUUUGACGCACGAAAUAGUAAACCACAAGACAUCACUAAUUUAGACAAGGGUUCGGUAAUUUAAUAAAGACAACGUAGGAUUUAAAAUAUAGUUUCGUUAAUUAAAGACAAUCAUUUACCAAAACGUGUUACUGAAUGAUUUGUGUUAAUGUUAUUAUCAGAAUUCAAACAUACAAUAUAUGAAGAAAAAAAUGUUUCUACUGAAAUACAUUUUUUUUUCUCUAAGUAAGUUGUUUCAAUUACAGAACUAUAAAUGCUAAUUAACAAAAAGUAGAAAUUCAAAAAGCUCCAACUAGUUCAAUGCAUCGUUGAUAAGUUCUAACUUCUACCUUCCCAUAUGGCUGAAUUUUGUUUGCAUGUAGGUCCCAAAUAUCACCACCGUUUCUUAAAGAAAUGUGUUACUAUUUUGAUUUAUGGACUAAUGAGGCCCAAACUAAAGUCAAAUUAGUAAUUAACUAAUCAUCAUCCUUGGAAAAUAAAAAAAUGUGCCCUUUAGCUUUUAGAUAGUAACAAAAAGAAGAAACUUGAAACAAAAACAAACAUGUCUUCCGCAUUUUAUAAAGUCGGCCGUAUAAACACAAAGGUCUAGCUUCCUCCUUUUUAACUCACAUUUGACCAAAACUCCUCCAAUCCAGGCACUCAUCGUUGACUUUUUCAAACUCAUUUCCUCUCUUUUUCCUUCUUCUCACAUCAUUAUAGACCAAACAUAAAAAACCAGAAUCCUCUGUUCUUGUCUGCGAAUUUUGCUGUUGUGCUCAUCGAUGGACAUUAAACAUCAUACUUCGACUUCAAAACCUAAGAACAAGAACAAGCUUUUGAAGAUGCUUCCUAAAGCUAUGUCGUUUGGACAUCGAGUUCCACCGUUUAGUCCCGGGAGAGAUCUCCACCACAACCACAACCACCACAAUAACACGGCGGCUAACAAAAUGUUUUUCUCUGGUCCUAUGGUUCCUUUGGUUCCUAACGCGGCUCGGGUUAGAAGAAACAAAAGCGACGCUGUUUGGGACGAACCUACUUCACCUAAAGUCUCUUGUAUCGGUCAGAUCAAGCUUGGUAAGUCUAAAUGUCCCACCGGUAAAAAGAACAAGAACAAAACAACUCCGUUGUUGAUACCUAAAAUCUCCAAAACCUCAACGUCGUCUUUAACCAAAGAAGAUGAAAAAGGUCGUCUUUCGAAGAUCAAGCGUAUCUUCUCGUUCUCGCCGGCGAGUGGAGGAAACAUAUCAAGAAAAUCUCAUCCCACCGCCGUAUCCGCCGCGGGUGAACAUCCUGUUACGGUGGUUUCCACCGCGGCAGUGCCUUCCUUAGGUCAGAUGAAGAAAUUCGCUAGCAGCCGCGAUGCUUUAGGUGGAUUUGAUUGGACGGUCGAGAUGGAACAUGAUGAAGAAUCCCCGGCUGAUCAUCGCCGUGGUUACUAUUCCGACGACGAGAAGAGAGGAGCUUACUUUAGAGACGACGAUGACGACGAUGAAGACGACAUAAUUAUCCCUUUCUCAGCUCCUUUAGGGUUAAAACCAAAGAAAGAAGUUAACUUGUGGAAGAGAAGAACCAUAGAUCCACCAAAACCACUUCAUCUUCAAACCACUUGAUUAAAUUUCCUUCACAUUUUUUUUUUUACUUUUUAUUACUGCAGGUCAAAUUGUAUAAUGAUCAUCAUUCACAAUGAAUCUGGAUUUGUUGUUAUGUGUAUAUGUAAAGUUGUGAUGCUGAUGAUCGUUCACUUCAAUAGUCUUUUGUGAAUAUAAAUUUUGCUCCGUCUAAAUAAAAAUCUCGUUCUCACUACAUUUUUUUCAAUUACAAAAUUAGUUUUAGUCUUUCCUUAUGUGACAGAGCGCAUGACAACAACAAUGUCUUUUGAAAAAAAAAAAAAAAAAAUCUAACUACCAAUGUGUUUCCACCACCAAAUUUUCCAUAUAAUAAAUGUAAAUCACAAUCAACCAUUAAUAUCACAUACAAAAUGAUGAUUAUGUGUAUAUAUUUAUUGAGAAUAAUACUACAACAUCUUCAUCGGGUAGGUACAAAUCAUUAACAUCUCGAUGUCAAAAAUUUUUUAAAAAAUAUCAUAAACAUCUCAUUCCCUUAUGGACCAAUUCAAAUCCGUCCAAGUUUCCGUGCAAAGUUAAACACACAAAAGCAAAAACUCAAAUCAAGAAUCACACUAUUUUGAGUUUUUUCAUAUCCACCGGUUUCGGAUGGUACAAACAAAGACCAAAAACCCAUUCUUUUUUUAAACGAGAUGUAAUAAAAUAUGAGUUUUGAUACAAAUUAAUAAGUGACACGAACGCCUGAGUACCGAAGAAUCUCUCCGAUGAGUUCUCCUUUACCGGAACCAACAUACCGGCCACAGAUAUCUCCAUCUCUAAUGAACAAGAAAGUUGGAACUUCGAUAACAUUCAUGUCCUUGAGAAACUCCAUACAACUAUCGUUCUCGUCACCAUUCAUUCUAGCGAAUACGACUGUCUCCGACAUUGACCGGGACAGUUUCAGCACGGUCGGAUACACCUUAACGCAAGGACCACAAUGUUUCAGACCGACGUCGAGCACGAUCAGCUUGCCUCCCGUGCGAUUCUCGUCGAUCAGCUUCUCCACGUCAGCUCUACCGUGCAGCUGCACCACCGCCGAGUGGUUGUCUCCGUAGUAUAGAACGUCUCCCAUUAACUGGUCCGGUUCAAUACCUGUCGAUGGUCAAACUUUUCCAUUUAUUUACGUCUUUGCCACUACAUUAUAUUACUUACGUUACAGCUCCAACAUAUAACACGUUUGCUUAUAUGUUUAUAUAGAAUUAUAUUGAAUUCUCUUUUAAAAUUCGUUAUGGUUAGUGUUACAACAUCAACAUAUAUCAAUACUCCAAACCUAAAUAAAUAAUCAUCGUACAUCGAAAUCAGUUAAUAGACAACUGUAUGUCCAAAAUUUGCUAAAAUCUAGGUGAAUUUGAGAGAUUGUAUUAAAUGUUUCCUUAAUUUGAGAGAUUUGCUCAACAAAUCAGGGGCAUUAUCGGUUGAAUAAAGUCUAAUUCCAAAUGUUUUUUUUUGCCUAUCUAGAUUAAAUCGAGUUAUGUUUUUAAUGAGAGAAGAAAUUAGGGAAAAUUAGGAAAUCACCUUCUUCCUCGUGUAUUUUCUCCAUGCUUUUAUAAAAGCUAAAGUGAGGAACUUUCUCAAUCUUCUCUCUCCGACAGAGCUCUCUGGUUUUGUCAGACUCAUCACCCAUGACGAGCAAGAAAACGACGUCGUUACAGGUCCUGCUCAGUUCCACCAUAAACGGAUAUAUCUUAUUACUCUGAUCACUCUUACUCGUAGCAAACUCUGCAACCACAAGUUUGCUCUUCGCAUUUUUCAACGCCUCAUCGAAUUCCUCUCCGCUGUGAAUCUUUUGUACCUUCUCGUCUUUCGCCGGGGGUGUACCCACCUUCCCCGGAGACGCCGCUCCGGCCUUCACUUUCACAGCCGAGAAUAGUCUUUUCGGGAGAUUUUCCCUCCGGAACAGAGAGUUGGUUUUAUGGUUAAAGAAUACGAAGGAGGAGGUCGAAGCAACGGCGGAGGAAGGCCGUGGGACUACGGUGGCGAUUGGUUUGGCUAAGAAGUUAGCGACGGUGGCCAUCGUGAGAGUGUGUGUAGGAUUUGGUUAGAGAUCAGUGAAUGGUCUAAUGUGGAUAGAUGUUUUAAAAUGGGUCCAAGACUUUUAUGUCCACUUGUUUAAAUUGUGUGGAUUGUGUUCACUGUUGGUUAGAUUUUUUGUGGGAAUAUAAAAGGAAUAUGUGAACUUGGUGAGAUUGCUGUUUCUAAAAGCAAUCGAAGUUGAUUUUGUUUAAGUUGUUGCAAAAAGACAAAAUAUUCUGGAAAAUUCCACCAGCAUCCAAGUAAGACUAAUUUAACCGGCUGAAUAAAUUCGACAUUGUAGUUUCCAUCUGGUAAACAGAAAAUGUAUCGGCCAAAGAAAACAAAAGAUUGCGUCAGCUGUCAUAGUUUGGAGUUUGGACAUUUUUUCAGCUUCGACCUUAAUGGCCAUUGACUUGGACAUGUAUUGUUGUUGUUGAUGUCACGUACGAAUAUAAGCAUAUCCACUUCCGGUGGAACUGGAUGUUAGGUAAACCAAUAGAAAUGGGCCUUAAGACCAUAAAUAUUAAUCAAAGCCCACUAUAGUUUUGACCCAGACUCGUGUUUAGUAAACUUUUAGUCAAGGAGAACAAUUUUUUUAGUAAAGCUCUAUAUUUUUAUUCUAAAAUAGAGUAAUUUUAUAAUAGAGUAGUAUUCUCUCCAAUGUAUUACUCUAUUCCUUACUCUAAAAUAGAGAUAGUGUAAAAGAUAGAGGAAAAUUAUAGAGUUGCUCUAUAUAUAGAAUAAUCUUCACUUUUGCUUUAUUUUAGAGUAGAAUAUAGAGUAAGGUCGGAGAGAAUUUUGCUUUAUAUUAAAAUUUAGAAAAAAAAAUAGAGUGGGGGUUGGAGAUGUUCUAGUGUGCAAAAUCAUUUCAUCUUCAAAAUAAAUUGAGAAAAGUAAAUAAAAUAUAUAUUUUCUAAGGUAAGCCGGAGUUCGUGCGACCACGCUGCACCCACUACCGCAAUGCGACAAACCAUAAGCCUAAAAUAAAAUAAAAAUCAAAUCUUAAACCGUUGACGACAAUAACAUAUACAUAUCGGACAGCCCACAAAUCCCACGACCACUCCCGACUCACUACUACAGACACACUUUGACACCUAAGCACAUCUCAAUUUACCAAACUACCGCCAUUGCUAAAUAUACGUGCUAAUCACGUGUUUGCUCGCCGGCGCUACCUACCCUCACCAGACACCGUUUAUUCCGGUAGAUCUUAGAAAUUAAAACUAAACAAGAGACUUGUACACUUUAAAGAUCUAAAAAAGGCGGCGGAUCACUCUGAUAAUAUUUCUUCCGGCAAAUUCUUUCAGAAACUAUUGUAGAAGAAGCAAAAAAACAAAUUUCCAGUGAUCCAUCAUGAAUUAAAACAAAUCAAAUUGAAAUGAAACAAAAAAAAAAGGAAAAAAUACACUGAACAACAAAGUGAUAAUAUUAAUACGACGACAAAAAAAAAAUCUUAAAGGGUAAAACGGGAAAUUAGAAAGAAAGAAAAAAACGAGAAGAAGGAAGAUUCUCAUUCAUUCAUUCAGAAGCUUUCUCUGGUUUUCUACAGAGAAUCAUAUGCAUCGGUGAGAAGAUUCCAGUCUCACCACCUCUGGUCAAAUAAUCAGCAGUCUUAAACAACAUCUUAUGAACAUCAACAGUUCCUUUAGGAGCAACACCAAUAGCAGAAAGAAUCACAACCACGACAUGGUUUCUCCAAUAAGCAAGUCUUCCCAUCUUUAACCGGUUCCACCAUGGUUUAGACGGUGGUUUAGCCAAAUCUUUCUCCUUCACAACCUCAAACCCAACUUUCUUUGCCGUUGCUGCAAUAUCUAUGUAGCUUCUUAGUCCAGGAAGUGCGUCUCCUCUCUCAAUCCCUUGAAUCACAUCCUUGUGUUCUUCAUCCUCGUCUCUGUAUUUCUCAGUGGUGACCCACUCGUAGGACACGAACAAAGAUCCUGGUUUCAUCACUCUGAAGAUCUCUGAGUAUACUUCUUCUAGUUUAGGAGCGUGACACGUGGCUUCGAUCGAGUAAGCGCCGUCGAACGUGUUUUCAUCGAACGGCAUCUUUAAAAAGUUACCGCAAACGACGUUGCAAAGAGAAUCAAGUCCAGCUUUCUUGUUGUGAAGCUUGGCUCGUUGCACUUGGUACUCGUUGAUGGUGAUUCCAGUGACUUGGGCCUUUGAAUGGGCUGCGAUGGCUCUCAUCGGCCCACCAACGCCGCAACCAGCGUCGAGGAUCUUUUGUCCAGGUUUCACGUUGAUGAGAUCGACGGCCAUUUCUUCGUGGAUCCUUGUGGCGUCUUUGUGGGAUUUUCCGGGGAUAUGAGGAGAGAAAUGGAAAGAUUGUCCCCAUCCCCACUCGUAGAUAUCGGUGACGAGAUUGUAGAACGUGUCGACGAAGUCAGGAACUUUCUCGGCGGUUUCGAUCUCUUUUGGUCGGCGGAAGAAAGACCAGUAUUGGUUAUAGUUGUCUUUGACGUUCUCGGCGUUGAUUGAGCCGCCGGAGAGAUCUAAGGCUCGUUUACCCUUUCGUUCUGCUGGACCUAAGACACAUAUGAACCAGUAGAGGGCGCCGGCGAUGAGACCGGCGGUGCAGUAGAGAGCCACCGAGUCCAUUUCUUUUUGUUUGAAGAGGGAGAAUGAGAGAAGGCAAAGGACGAGAGAGAGACGUUCAGUUCACGACUCUUGUACAGAGUUAAUGGUUUUUAUCUACAAAGAUGUAUUGUAGGAAUAAAUAAUCCAGUCAAGAAUCUUGCAAUUAAAUAAUCUUUUUUAGCAAGUAAGUAACAGAAAUUUAUGGUCCACACUACUGCCUAUAGAAAUUUAAAAAGGUGACAGAAGGAAAACAAAAUUUUCUUUCACCUAAAGAAUUGCCUUUUACUAUUUGCUUACAUGGGUAUUUUUAAUUAGUUUAAUCUUACUAAUUUUGAAUCGAAAUUAUGACACAACAAAUAUAAUAAUACAACUUAUUUGAUUACUAUUGAUAUGUUAUUUGUUGUAUCUAAUUUGAUAUAGGGUAUCUUACAAUUUUCGUCUUAGAAUAUCUGUUUGGAUGUAUGCUCGCGAGCACAAUUCGUUUAGAAUUGAACUACGUAUAGUUAUAUACUGUACUUUUGUUUUCUUUUUUGUUAGUUUUAAACAUUCAACUUCCAGUAGUAAAAUCAGUAUUUUUUUUGUUUAUUAACGUAGUCGAUACAUCAUAUCGUUAAUGAAUCACACGUAUAUAUCUAUCUUACUUUUUUUUGCGUUUGUAGUUUUCUCGCAUCAGUUAUAAGUUAUAACAAUGACAAACUACAAUUAUUUAUAGAUCCAGAUCUAUAUGACUUGUGAAUAUUUAUGCCAUGAGAUCGUUAUUUGCGAUCUUGUACUUAUAUAUCUGAGGUGUUUUUCUUUUUAUGAUAUCCUUAAUAAGAGUAUCUCCAACCCACCUCUAUAUUUGCCUCUAAACUCUAUUUUAGAGGCAAAAUUGCUCCAAUCCACUUCUAUUCUCACCUCUAAAAUAGAGAUCUUUAUUUUUUUCUCUAUAUAUAGAGGUGAGAAUAGAAUAUCUCUAUUUUUUUUUCUAUAAAUCGAGUUAAACUUUUUAGAGGAAAAAAUAGAGGAACACAUUGGAGUAAAAAUAGAGAAAAGUUAUCUCUAUUAUAAAAAUAGAGUUAAAAAUAGGGAAAUACAUCGGAGAUGGUCUAAGUUCUACAAGCAUUUCAUUUCACUCUUUACACGUUGUAGGGUCAGCCGGUCAGGCCAGCUCCUUAUAAUAUUUUUCUGUGAAGUCACCUAAUUAUUUUCAUAUAUAUCUCUCUCGCUCUCCGUACAACUCAGGAAUUGUUUUUACAAUUUAGUAAUAAGAGUAAAGAGACUGUGUAGUAUUACGAAUCAAAUGAAUUAGGGGGAAAAGAUAGCUAAUGAAAUGGGUACAGGAGUCCUGACGUAAAUUUUUAGUUAUUGUCUCGAAUGGGGUAGGUAGAUAAUCAUCAUAAUUUUCUAUUCCCUAAUGAUAAAGCUCUGAUUACCAAAAAAAAAAAAAAAACACUACAUCGUUUAUACUUUUGCCCAUGAUCCGUGAGUUCAAAACUUUAAUGACUAGUCGGCCUUAGGUAUGUGUCUAGCGAUUAAUCAAAAAAUCAAAUUAAAAUCAGAGAUUAAUUGGGGAUUAGUUUCAGAGUUAUUUUAAUAUUUUAGAAACAUAUUAAUCUAAUAUUAUUUUCAAAAUUACAGUAAAUAUAUUUUGAGACGAAUUUUUAUGAUUUUUAUUAAAAAUUUAUGUUUUUAUUAAAAUUUGAACAUAAGUUAUUGUAAAACAUCACAAACUCGCAAUUCAAAUGAUUGAAUAACAAAAAUAGAAAGUUUUUUUUUAUAUUUGCAAUCUAAAAAUAAUCGAAAUAUGUAAGAUUAGACAGAAUGUAAUCGGAUUAGGUGGAAAGUAAUCGGAUUAGGCGGAGAGUAAUCGGAUAACUAAUUUUUUAGGAGACUAGUCAUUAAUCGAGGCGGAUAUGAUGAGAUUAGCAAUUAAGCGGAGAGUCGGGUUUGACGGAGAUUUUUAGAACGGCCGGUCUCUAGAGUUUCCAAUUAUUGUUUAAAUUAAAAUCAUGGUUUUUGGUAAAUGGGUCGCAUCACAUGACUCAUAUGAUCUCAUAUGAUCAUAUCACAUGACGAUGUGUUAUGCAAUCUGUCUGUAUUUCAACACGAAUCUUUCAUCACUCCAUAUUGCAGCUUGCUUUUUUUAACAUCACUCACGUGCUGUUUUGCUUACACGACAUAAUUAAUGUAUUAAUGAGGACAACUUCGUUAUUGAUUGGUCCAAUUUUAUCAUAUUUUAUGAACCCGAUAUUUAAUUUACUCUAUUCAUUCCAACUGUAGACCAUAAUGCACAAACGACAUCCACUUCCAGCUAUUAUAUUCGACCGGAAACUAUUAGUAAAGCUCGUCGAAAUCAUGAUUUAUACAUUUUAAACAUUAUAUAAAAAUGUUAAGACAUAUAAGAAAGAUUAAACCUUCAAAUAUGUUAAUUAAUCUCAUUGUGCUUUUCUCUAGAACACAAAAUAUGACAACUGUUGCGAGCUUUCUUCGCAUUACUAAUGUAAAUUAUUCAUAUUAAUUAUUUCGGAAUUGCAACUAGACUUGUCAAGAUAUGGGAAUCGAAUUCGACGUGGAAAGUAUUGUAGAUAAGCAAUAUGUGUAUCUUGCGGACCAAGUAAUAUGGACCGUUAAAGUUUAUUAUGAAGUGAAGCCCGUGAAGCCUAAACCGAAGAAUAUUCUAGAUCUUUAUAUUACUUCUUGUACAAGUUAUUUACUUAUAUGUUUAGGAAAGUUUAUAUUAUGUGGGUGUUAACAUUAUGUUAAUGUUAACACUAUAUAUAUGUAUCUUAUAUUUUCAUAUGAGAGACAACUCAAUAAAGUAUUUUAUAGAUUCUAUAAUAUUUGACAUGGUAUCAGAGCAGUCGAUCCUUGUGGAUCUGAAUUAAACGCUUCCGCAUUAAAAAUCUUGUGGUCACAAUAACCAUGGGAUGUGAAGCCAUCGAAGACGGUGGUGACGAAGACGAUCCGGAUGAUGACGUGAAGCAAAGUUUGCUUUGACGUCCACAUGAGAGUUUUAUAUUUCUUUUAUUCUAAGUUAAUGUUUUAGGUUUAUUUUGAGUUUAUGAUUUGGUUUAGCACAAGAAUUAGAGAUCUUUGAGGAAUUAUUAUGUUUUAAGGGUUUGGGAUUUCACAAGUAGUUGUUUAUUUAUGAGAUUUAUUCUUGAGUUUAGAAUAUCUCAUUUUUUUAAUGUGAGUUUUGAUUUCUCAUAUUACGGGGGAGUUUAUUGGAACACUCAUGUUUUAGGCUAUUUUUUAGUCCGGUUUGUGGACUGUUCGAGAUAGGACGAUUAUUUGUGGAGUUGCAGGAUUUGCGCCCACGGAAUAUUGUUAUUCCCUUUUACUAAGAUCAAAGACGAGCUGAAGUUCCAUCCUCUUUUGAAAAUUGAAGUUUAUACCUGAGGAGACUGUUGACAUGAUUUGUCCGUCCUCGACAUGAUGUCCACGACAUAGGUGUUCCGCUUUGUGGUUGCAUAUUUUGCGUUUCGCAUCCCACCUUUGUCGUGCGGGGGAGUAUUAGAGAUAAGCAAGAUGUGUAUCUUGCGGACCAAGUAAUAUGGACCGUUAAAGUCCAUUAUGAAGUGAAGCCCGUGAAGCCUAAACCGAAGAAUAUUCUAGAUCUCUAUAUUACUUCUUGUACAAGUUAUUUACUUAUAUUUUAGGAAAGUUUACAUUAUGUGGGAGUUAACAUUAUGUUAAUGUUAACACUAUAUAUAUGUAUCUUACUAGGAUAUGACCCGCGGUGUACCGCAGGUUAAUUAUUUGAUUUGAUUUUAAUCUUUUUAUAAACUGAUGAAUUUGUUGUAUAUAAUAUUUUUUUGUUGUACACCGCGGGUCACAUGCGUUGUAACUAAAAAUAGAAAUUUUAAAUUGUAUUUGUUUUGUUUAGUGUUUAAAAUUGUAUAAUUGUAUUUUGAUUUGUUAAUCCUACGAUUUCACCCGUGAUAUAUUGUCCCGUAUUAAUAUCAAUCCAAACCCGUCCCACCAUAUAAUCCAUUCCCGUAAAAUUAAACAUCAUUUUGUUAUUUCUUUUAAUAACGCUUUUAUUUAAAAGACAUAUAAUUCAAGUCAAUUUAAAAGUUUGCUUUCAAAUGGUUUCCAUAAUAUAUAUAUAUAUAUAUAUAUAUAUAUAUAUAUAUAUAUAUAUAUAUAUUUAAAUUAGUGUGGGUUUUUGUACCAACCCGUAAAAAUAAUUUAUAAUUGUAUCUUAAAAUACUAAAUAAUUGUAUUUUGAUUUGUUAAUUUUAGGAUUUCAACCAUGGUAUAUUGUUCCCUUUUGGAUAAUUGUAAAAAUUAAGGAAAUAUCCGAAUGACUCAUUUCCGGGACAGAGUAAAAAAAAAAUAUGACCUGAUUAAACGCGCAAAUUUGUUCUUAAAAAAUAUUAAUAUAGAUUGUACACAUACUUUUUUCUUUAUCGAUUGAGUAAUAUAUGUCUGUUUUAAAAAAUUUAAAUCAUAGCGUAUUGCAAAAAAAAAUCGGAAAUCUUAUUAACUAUAUAAAUUUUAUAAUAAUUCAAAAUAAUAUAAAUAUAAGAUCAUAUAAAAGUGAAAUAAGAAUCAUAUAUUUAUGUUUAAAUUAGGUAGAGAAGUUUUAGGAAAUUAGCUCAAAUUUGUUAUAUUAGCAUUAAAUCAUCAUAUUUGAUUUCCUUAUCUAUAAAAAUCAUAGAGAAUAUGCCAUAAAUAAAGAGUUCAUGUAUAGUAAUUAGUUGAAUAUAUAUAUAUUUUUAGAUUUUAUUAAAUAAUUUUGUUUUAAAAUUUUGCCAACAUUUAAGGGAAGAUCCAAUUGAAGAUUUCCGGGUCAAAAUUGAAACAAAAUUCGACCCGAUUAGGAUCCCUUAAAAGUGUUGCAAAAAUGUAUAGUAGAUAUUUUCAUAUGAGAGACAACUCAAUAAAGUAUUUUAUAGAUUCUAUAAUAUUUGACAGAAAGAGAGUUUCGAUUACUUAUCAGCUAUUUAUGAGUGUGCUGAUCUGUGUUGUUUGUUAUUUUCCCUGUUUGGCCUCAAAUUAAUCAAACCAGGCAACCAAAAUAUACAAUUUUUCCCUGCCUGACCCUUGGAUCCAUAUCCAUGAACUUUCUUCAUUUUUGUUAUUUAAAAUCAACAAUGAUUUCAUCACGUGAUAUUCUCUACUUUUCGUGAUUUGUUAAUGCAAUUUUUUGGGGUGGUCACUAAACUUGUUUCUUGUAUUUCCCGAAAAAAACAUGAGCCGUUAGGCCCAUCCGUAAAUAUAGGUGAGCUGGGCCUCUAAAAGACUCUGAUAUUGGGACUAAAGUAACGCAAGAAAACACAACGCGGAGAGACCUAAAACAAAAACUUUAUUCAAACUAAAAGCUCUUUUCACGGACACAAAGAAUGGCCGUGACUUGAAAUGUUCAAAAGAGCCAGUGAAACCACUAACUUACGACAUUAAACAUUAUAUAAUCUUUUUUUAUUAUCCAACACUCUCUUCAAAAUUAGAUUUCUAAAUAAACUUUGAAUAAGCUUUGUACUCGAACAAGAGAGUCUCGAGACAAUUUACUACUUGACGGUGAGUUUCCCGACCAUACCAGCACCCUGGUGCGGCGCACAGUAGAAACUAUAAGAGCCAGGCUCUGUCAAAGUAACCUCGUAACUCUCUCCUGCACCAUUAAGAAGCUCUGUCUCGUCCAUCGAGAUCUUGCUCGUGUCCACACCACUAGGGAUCUCGUCUUCGUCGAACACAACAUUGUGUGGGAACCCUGCGUUGUUCUUGAACACGAUCUUCUCUCCUUUAGCCACUGUGAAUUCAGAUGGUACGAAAACAAGAGAACCAUCGUCGGAUCCUAGAAGAACCUCCAUGGCCAUUGCAUUUCCGGCUAAAACAAUCGAAGCUGCUGUUGCCACGGCGAUGACGCCGAUAUCCUUCAAAGAGGACUUCACAGAGAGCUUAGGUGCCGUCCUGGUGGCGGAGGAGGAUCUUAUGGUGGUGGAUACCGUCGUGGGUUUUGAGCUGACGGCGAGCUUUAGGCCGGUGAAAGAAGGGAUUGUGACGGUAGCUGAUGUAAUUGCGGCCAUUUUCUUUAUUUUUUGGGAUCACUCGUAAUGAAUUGAAAUUUUGUGGGAUUUUUUCCCAAAAGGGGGUUGUGAGGUUUAUUUGGUUAGAUAAAGCGAGAGCGUUAUCUGCAUGGGAUUGCUGUGAUUGGUUAUCCUAGAUGUUAUGCGAGCUGACGUGGCAUUAUUUGAUUGUUUUGAUUAACGUUGCAGAACUAGAUAAGCUUAGGAAGAGACUUUGAAAAUUCCAAGUUUUUAUUCAUAGUUCUUGUGGUGUUUUGUUAGUUUACUAAUCAACGAAUCGAUCGAAUUGAAGAAAAUAUAACCUCAGUAGAAAAUCUAAAAUUCAGAAAAAACAUAAAAAGAGAAAGGAACUGUCCGAUAAAAUCCAAACACACGGCUAAGCCUAGUUUUCACAUGGCCAACUACUACGAUAAGCUAGAAAAAUAAACGGCGAGACGUCCGAUCUUAAAAAAGAGAAACGACCUACAAACAAAUCGACUUAACGCCUAAAAUCACCUAAAACGCCUUGUCGUUUGUCAUGUUACCAUCCCUGAGCCUUAACGUUUCUCUGUACUCAUUCAACUCCCUCUGAUACCUCUCCUUAUCCUUCAAUCCAAUGUCCUGAUAAACCUGCAAACGAUAAACCAACUCGGUUCAGUUAUCGGUUUACUACAAAAUCUAUUUUCAUCUCUUAACCGGUCCCGGUUUAUAAGAUAAUUUGUUACCAUUCGUUCUUCAGUAGAGAGAUUGCUCCACGAUUCGCCGAUAAUUUUCGUAAACUCUCUUUCCUUGUUGGGAUAAAGAGACUUGAGCUUACAAUGCUUCUCUGCAAAGAAGAAAUUGUAACCGCUCCGGUUUGGUUUCGGGUAAUUUGGGUCUUCUCUGCGUCUGCUUCUUCGUCUUUUACCUAAACGACGUCGCCUCCUCCCAGUUUCAACAUAAGGUACAACGGCACCGUUUAGAUCAGCGCUUGGAGAUGAUGAUGGGCCGGGCUGGGCCGAAUGAUAAAGCACGCCGUUAAGAAUUUCUGAGCCCAACUUUACUUUUACCAGAUAACCACAAUCGAAUUUGCCUUCUAUUGUACCAAUGGCUGUGAAACUCGACGAACCUGUGCCAUGUAUUAAAUAUCACAUGUAUCAUAAGCAAAACUUAAAUACAUUAUCUUAUAAAAAUUUCUUGUAUGUGAACCAAAUCGUAUAAGCUUCCGGUUUGGUCCACAUCUUAGGUUUAUUAUCCAACAAAAUCCAAAUAAAUUUGCAUCAAACAUAAUGACAGUGGGACCAUUAUAAUUCUAGUCUAGACUAUAUUUGAAAAGUAUUGAGAUAAACACAAACAAUUUACGAUAAGUACAUAUAGCUAAUGCCCCUAAAUAUAAGUUACACAUAAAUAUAAUCAUUAACUAAUACUUCACAUUUUACCAAAAAAAUAAAAAAUAAUCAUUAACUAAGACCUUAAUCAUACUUUGUCAUAAAAAAUGAUCAUAUAAAACAAAGAAAAAAGAUGAGUAGAUAAUACGUACGAACCUUGAGAAGGAUGAUGAGUAUUAUUAUAUCUUAUACUCGGAGGAGUAUAUUCGACGAGAGCCAUUUCUUUGCUCGUUGAUGGAUUGGCAUGAAAUGUAGCUGCAAAAUUGAUACUUAUAUGUGACAUAAAUAGUCGUCGCCAAAUAAUUUCUAGUUCCAAGAUAUUAACAUAAUUACAAUAACCAUAAAGAUAAAACUGAUAAAUAUAAUCCAGGUAUACAUCUUUACCAGACAAAAAAUUCGGGUAUAUACAAUCGUUGAACUCCCACGUUGUAGUAAGAAUGUGUACCACGAUUUGAACCCAUGUCUUCAUCACAUUUUGGAAUUUCAUUUUUAUUAUUUUAUCCUAGUUUCAAGCCUUUUAGACUAUCCUUAAUGGUUAACAAAGAAUUGAAAUUUCUAGUCUUAGGGCAUUAAAGACAAUAUGGGAAGCAUCUCAUGAUUCAUUGAUUAGCAUUUAUCAAGCGGUUGAAUUAAAGAAUCUCCGUAGAAAUAAAUAUAUGAUAAUUGAAAAAUAUAACCUAUAGGAUUAUAAUGCUUGUGUCCUAUAUAUAUUUAAAACUUAAAAAGUAAUCAAUUGAAGAAGGUUAGAAAAAAAAAAACCUGUGGGAUGAAGAAGUGGACCACGAGCAGUGAAGAGAUGAACUUGUUCGUAAUGGAAGAGAAGAUUGAGAUAAUGUUUCCUUAAGACAAACGAAGCACUUGUUGUUGUCGCAGAGAAUCUAAACACUCCUCCAACUUCCCUCCAUUUUUUCUCUGCGACUACCUUUUAAUUUACAUGCAUUUUCAAAACAAACUCAACAUAUAAGAAUAUGAUAAUAAAUUACCAUAAAGUAAAAAAAAUUGUGUAUUGAAAAAGAAAACAAAAGUGUUGACCUUUUCGUAACCUCCCCUCCUCGUGACUUCCACAUACAAAACAUGCAAAUCCAGUUCUUUUCCUCCAAUCACAGGAAUCCUUGUAUAUAUCAUACAAAAAUAAAUAAAAGAAAUGACGAAAACUAAAUUUAUUAAGUAAGAACAAGAGGAAUAAUGGUUACAUGAACUUAGUGGACAUAAUUGAGUGAAAUCGCCUGAGAGUAUCCCAGAAGACAGAAGAAUCUUUAACGACAACUUCAUGUGAAGCCAAUGGUUCUGGAUACUCUUUAAUCUUCGCCGGAGACGUCGCCGUCAUUUCUACCGUCGCCUGAGACGGUGUCGAUUCGUUGUCCGAUGACAUCGUUAAAGAGAGAAACAAUUAGUAGAGGUUUUUUUGUUGUUGUGAGGGGUUGUGUGUGUUUUUUUUUUUGUCUGGUCUCUCUUUUUUGGUUUUGGUUUAAGGAAAGAAGAGAAAGAUAACGAUUCAAGAUAAGAUUUGUGAUUAAAUCACAAAGAAAUAGAAAUAUGAAAUUUAAUUUUUUUUUUUGCUAAGGAUUUAAAAGUAACGGACGUGAGGAUUUGUCAUUUUCUUUCUUUUUGUGUCUUUAAUAUAUACCACAUAGAUAUAAGGAAAUUUAAAAUUUUAUACUUUGUAGUAAUUGUGUAUAUUUGCUUGCUUUCAAAUUAUUGUUUUUAUUUUCGAGGCGUUUUGAAUGAUGUUGCUUAGUAUUUUGUCUGAUACUACUAAUUACUUUUUUCACAGAUUAUUAAUACUGAUAUUAUUGCACCCCACCUACUUUAGAUUUUAAGCUUACGAGCAGUCGAAAUUAGUCACAUCUGUUUCUUUCCAAUGUAAUCAAUCAAUAAUUAAAAUAUUUGAAAUUUCUUUAGUCUAAUAUGAAAACAUCGAUAAUAUCUAUAUAAAAAAAAGACUGCCUUGCUUUUUUUUGGUUUAUUAGAUUCUUACACUUUUUAGUUUAUUCUUGUACAUGAAAAAAUUAAAGAAUGUGAGACUAAUGUGAGCGAAAAGUUGAGAAUAUGGUAAAACCAAAAAAAAAAAAUGAUAAGAAAAUGAAAUACGAUCUUUACACUUUAUACAAGUAAUGUUUAGGUGAGGAAUUUAAAAAUCGUACGAUCUUUAGAGAUCAAAGAUUUGGGCAUUUAAAAACCUCUGAAAAUUAAAAAUGUGUCACUGUUGAGUAUUGACAUGCAUUGGUAAGCGAAAGUUAAAGUAGUACUUAUUAGUGCAGACGAAGAUAGGAGUCACACCCUAAUACUCAUCGGGUCAAUCGAAGUCUGACAUUUUAUUUACCCUAAAUAACAAUUUAAAAACAAUUUAAAUAGUAAAAACUGAAAAAAAGUUAUGGGCCUUAUGCUUCGGAGAGGUUGACGUGCGAUUAGGGAUUUUAUAUAUGGUUCUGCUCAUAUGUAACGUUACGUCUCUCUGCCUGUAGAUUCGGUUCCACGUUUCUUCCUUAUAAUCAUUUUUCACCGAUUUUUAUUCUACAAACAUUGUUCAAAUAAGAUUCUUCUUCCACAAAGAAAAAAUCUUUUAUACGACGACGACAUUGGAUGAUAACAAAUCAAAGUCAAAAUCAUUGAUUAAAAAGUUAACAAGAAUAGUUAACCAACAUUGAUCAUUGAUUAAAAAAGUUACAAGAAUAGUUAACCAACAUUGUUGAAUGAUAAGAACAAAAACAAUGAUCUUCAAACUAAGCUUCCAUCAUUUUGCUUAGAGACUAUGACUUAUCUUCCUCGUGGUCGGUUUCAUCAACUUUCUUCUGAACAAGAAAUUUGGACUCUGUUAUUAUGUCCAUGACUGCCAAAAUUUAGGUCUGGAUAGUUUCUAUAGUUCAAGGAAUGUAACCAAAGAGCCAUAUUUCCAUAUUUUCGCUCUGUGGCGCAGAUAUGAGAAUAAAUAUGCUUCAAUUUGAAUGCUUCAGCUUCUUCUUUGUAUGCUUCCAUGGACACUUCUUCAUGACUGUCUUCAAAUUUUUUGUUAUAAGACGUGAAGAAGCAUUCGUCGAGGUAGAGUCCAACUUCAGGUGCCAUUGGUACAGUAAUAUUCACAUCCCUGGUUACAUAAUUUCCAAAUUGAGUAUCACAACAAACAAAACUAUAGACAUUGCAAAGCUUUAAACCAAAAAAAAACAAGAAGCUUACUUGCUGAAAGCAGUCUGGAUAAGUGAUUCAGAAGCACAAUUCCUCAUGAUUGCAACAGCAAGACCCAUCAUCUUUCGAAUCUGAUGAAGCAUAAAGCUUUUGCCUAAGACUUCACACUUAAUAAAGUCAAUUCCAUCAAGAUUAAUAACAGUAUUAGCAGUGAAGGAGAUGAUUUGACGAUUCGCAGCCGGAUCAUCUGCUUUUGUUCUUGUAGUGAAGUUAUGGAAAUUAUAUGAUCCAACAUAACAACUUAGUAUUCUAUUGAACCUUUCCUUUUCCUUUUCACCAUAACAAAACUUGCUCUUUGUCUCAGCCAUCACAUUUCCUUCUCCAUUGAUCUUCUCUGUUGAAUUUGUAUUCAAUUUACAACUGUCUUCUUGUAUACUACCUACUUCAACAUCUACUGAGCUUAAGCUAGCUAAAUUAGAACUCAAAGCUUCAAUCUUGACAUCAGUUCUUAAUGCACUAGAGUUGUUCGACAAAAUGUCUGACUGAAAAUCCAAUGAUUUAGUAACAAAGUUGGUACCUUUCCAAUUACCCACAAGACCUGGAAUCUUACGACCUCUCUCUGAGCACUCAAAACACUUAACAUAUUCCUCUCCUGGACCCAAACUAGCCAUUACUGUUUCUCUAUCACGAUGCGAGAUUGGAUCAAGAGCAAACACUGGAAGCAGAUACACAUACCUUCUUCGAUCGCAGAACUUUUUGGAGCUAAACGACGGCGUAACAUGCUUAUACCCGAAGAUCCUAAUCUGAUUAGGGAGAUUUGAAUUGAGACGAUCCACGAAUCCAGGUGGAUCAACGUUGAAUCGACCGGAAACUACUUGUCCCACAGCACUAACUCCUUUAUCCGUCCGUGCCGAUCGUGCGAAAUCGUAUAGUUUUGGCUUGCCUCUAAUGGACUCUGGUACAGCUCCGGCAUGGAACAAAGCUUCUUCUAGCUCACCUUCAAUGGUUUUCGCGCCGGGAUUCUUUUGCAUCCCUUGGUAUCCUACACCGCAAAACGCGAAGAUUAUGGCAACUUUUUGAGGCUCCGUGACACCUCCGCCGCAGGACAUGUCUGUUUCCUCAUCGGUGGUGGUGGUCAACAUUUUGAGCUUCUUCUGAUCUGAUUCUCGAUCAAGAACCUCGAACCGGGGAAAAUCUCUCGGUUUUCAAACUCCUGAGCCUCCAUUAUAGUGGUGUGAGUUCAUCGAACUCUCUAUUUUCCAGCUUUCCUCUGCAACUACGUUAAUGGCUACCGAACAAAAGUCAAAACCCUAGAAGACGACUGAGGUAUGCUUCUAUAUGACACCGUUUCGGUAUCAGACCGCUCUUUAACUGGGCCUCUAAUUUUCUUUUAUAUAUGGGCUUAUUCUAAAGCCCAAAAGUUUCUCUUAUUUAUAUCUUAAGUCAAAUUUGAAAAAGUCAACUAUAUCCAUUGAUCAAACAUCUUUGGAAAUUUGUUCCUGUGGCAAGAAAGCAAGAAAAAUAUAGCCGUUGUUUCUCAUUGAUCUCUAUGUAUGAAAGUAUGUAUGAAAGUACGAAACUUUCAAAUCUCUCCGUUCAGAUAUAGGCAUCGCUCAUGGUACAUACACGCGUCGUAUACUAUUUCAAUUGGAUUAGUCAUGUCAAGUUAUCUACUUUAAUCUAACAGUCAACGCGUGUCUAGAUUUUUCUUUGAGGAGAAUUGAAAAACGCAAACUUUGGCGAAUUAUGAAGCUUCGUUUCUCGAUCGAGUCCAAAAACCCUAAAAGAUUCAACGAAGGGGAAAAAAAGACAUCUCUUUUAUCUCUGAGAUUCUUCGCUCAAGUUGUUUACAGCUUUAUACUUUUUGAAGAAGGUAUUGUAUUCUGUGAUUGGCUCAUCUCUUAAUACCGUAGAAUCGAAUCGUCACUUUGUGUUUUGUGGGUAUACUCCAAUUUGCUCCGUUGCUUCUCUUCCUCUUCUUUGUCACAUUUAUAAAAGGUUUGUUAUUGUGUGGCCGAAAGUUGUUUGACAUUUGAUUCUGAUUCGUUUGGGAUCAGAAACUGUUCAAUCACUUCACGUUCUCUCUUCGUCUCUAUAUAUAUACGCAGGAUUGUUUGAUUAAGGGACUUGUGAUAUAUAGCUUCUUCGUUUCCGUGGUAUUUGAUCUUCUUUUGCUCUUCAAGUUUAAGGUUCUUCUUUUAUAUGUAUGAUCUCGAAUGCUCUGAUUUUAUCUUGUUACAUUGCCUAAUUACUUGGUUAGACUUUAAUCAAAUCUGAAAUUGGAAACAGAGUUUUGCUAUUAUUUCAUUUAUCUGUCCUGAAACAAAUGUUGCUCUUCAGUAAUUUGUUCUCUUAGUGGAAUGUUUGGAAUUUAGAUUCUUUGAUUAUUAGUUUGCUGCUUCACAACACUACUGGUUUGUGUCUCACUACGCAUAUCACUUAUUGUCUGAUCUCUUUGAAAUGGUAUUUAUUAUUCUGGAUGCAGGUAUUUGUUAAAUUCAACCCGUUUCUCGUUGAUCAGUGUUUUCGGUUUUCGGUUUUGCUGAACCUUGUCUCGACAUGGGCUACCAUAACAAUGUAAGUUUUUCCUUUUUGCUCUACCACUUUAUGUUCAAAUUCUUGUUCCAUCUUUCUUUUUUCUAAAGCAUGAAUACUAUUGCAGGUCUUUGAUGAAUGCAACGACCAAACUGAUAUCGGUAAACACAAGAUAUUUAAUAUAGGAUUAAGCCUUGUUCAUGAUUCUUUAGUUUCUUAGUUUUAAAGCUGAACUAUUAAGUCUAUUGGUUUUCUAUAUCAGGUCGGGUUCUACGCGAUGGAAGGGAAGUCAUUCUCCAAGUAAGCUCAUCUUAGUUUUAUAGUGUAACACUUAUAGUUGUGGUUUGACACCUAGUCUUGUAGACCCUAAAAGAAAUUAGGAUUUCUAUUUCAGGCUUAUAACUGGGAGUCUCAUAAACAUGAUUGGUGGAGAAACUUGGACGGAAAAGUUCCUGACAUUGCCAAAUCUGGCUUUACUUCUGCAUGGUUACCACCACCAUCUCAGUCUCUUGCACCAGAAGGUUAGAGGAAAUUGAUUCCAAGACAUAAUGAGCUUUUAUGUAUAUGGGUUUUGAAAUGAUUACUAACUGCGGAAACGGUUUUUACUAUCAUUUCAGGUUACCUUCCACAGGACCUUUAUUCACUAAACUCAGCAUAUGGCUCUGAGCAUCUAUUGAAAUCCUUACUUAGAAAGAUGAAACAAUACAAAGUUAGAGCUAUGGCUGAUAUAGUCAUCAAUCAUCGUGUUGGGACAACGAGAGGACAUGGUGGAAUGUAUAACCGUUAUGAUGGAAUUUCGUUACCGUGGGAUGAACACGCCGUGACUUCUUGUACCGGAGGACUGGUGAGUGAUGAUUAAAUUACAUGUUUGACAUAUCAUUAUGUUCUUAAAGCUCAAGAAAAGGUUUUCUAUUAAAACAGGGUAACCGAAGCACAGGGGAUAAUUUUAACGGAGUUCCAAAUGUUGAUCACACUCAGCAUUUUGUUAGGAAAGAUAUAAUCGGGUGGCUUCGUUGGCUGCGCAACACCGUCGGGUUUCAAGAUUUCCGUUUUGACUUUGCUAGGGGGUAAGUUUUCGCUGAGCUGAUUUGUUUGUUUGCUUGUGGAGUCCUUAAUAUGUGAAAUUUGAAUGUAAUUGAUGCAGUUAUUCAGCAAACUAUGUGAAGGAAUACAUUGGAGCAGCAAAACCGUUAUUCUCGGUUGGAGAAUGUUGGGAUUCUUGCAAUUACAAUGGCCAUGGUCUAGACUAUAAUCAAGGUUUUGUAGCGUUGAAUUGUUUGACAAGUGAUUUUAGUUCCAUGAUUGUAGUGUUAAGUAAUUAUGACACUGGUCUUUUCUACAGAUAGCCAUAGACAGCGUAUAAUUAGUUGGAUCGAUGCCACGGGACAGAUCUCUGCUGCAUUUGACUUCACAACUAAAGGAAUUCUGCAGGUAAGUAGAUUUUUUAAGACCUCUGAAAUUCAUAGAGUUUUGCUUACAAAAUGUCACCAUUGUAUUGAAACACAAAUGUUUUUUAUUAUAACAGGAAGCCGUAAAGGGUCAGUAUUGGCGUUUAUGUGAUGCCCAAGGGAAGCCACCUGGUGUAAUGGGAUGGUGGCCUUCAAGAGCUGUCACGUUCCUUGAUAACCAUGACACUGGCUCUACUCAGGUUACUUAACAAUUUCUUCUGUGAUCAUUUUCUUUUAGCCUUCAUAUGUUUGCUUACUUUUUUUGUUGCUCUCAUAGGCUCAUUGGCCGUUCCCUUCACACCACAUUAUGGAGGUAAAGAAGCUCUCUAAACAAAAUUCAGUCCAUUUUCUUGCAUUUUAAGUCUCUCCCUAAUCAAAGAAGAUCGGUUUCGUGUUUUUGUAGGGCUAUGCAUAUAUACUUACUCAUCCCGGCAUUCCCUGUGUGUUCUACGAUCAUUUUUACGACUGGGGAAGCUCGAUUCAUGACCAGAUUGUCAAACUGGUAUUUUUGUUCACUUCAAUCUCUCUGCUUAUCAUUGGAUCCAUGGUCUAACAUUUUCUAUAUCUUCUAAGACCUGUCCUCUGUUUUUUUUCCUUAUGAAUCAUUUUGACAGAUUGACAUUAGGAGGCGACAAGAUAUCCACAGUAGGUCAACGAUCCGCGUUUUAAAAGCAGAAUCGAACUUAUAUGCAGCCAUUGUUGGUGAAAAACUGUGCAUGAAGCUUGGAGACGGCUCUUGGUGCCCUUCUGGUGGAGACUGGACUCUAGCAACAAGUGGCCAUCGCUAUGCCGUCUGGCACAAGUAAAUCUUUUUAUGUCUAAUCUAUCUUCCUAAACAAACCUUCCUAUUGAUCAAAAAAGGUUCUGGUCUUCAGAGUCCAGAGAUAUAUGUAAUUCAUUGUCUUACAAUAAUGUCAUGCCCUUACGUCUUCAUGACGUAAGAUUUUAUAAGAGAAAUUUAUAUGCAAGUGAAAAAUUUGCAUUGUGUGAAUUUUUUGUUAACAUAUGAUAUAAAAAAUAAAUUGGAUGCCUAGUGAGAAAGAGAAAUGGAGACUAUAGGAAAAAAGGGUUUUGUGCUUUUCUAUGAGAAGUAAGUUGACUUGUGCUAUGUUUCAAAAGUUAAGUAUUCAGAUUACAAGAUAGAAACCAUAUGAUUUUAAAAUAAUUUGUGCAAAGCAGAUGAUAAUGGACAUUUGCUAGGUUUGUUGGUAGGAUAAAUUGAUACUUACCAUUAAAAAAAUCUCAUUAAUUUAAAGCAUGGUCUAUGAAACUCAAGUUUAGCUAUUAUUCCUUGGUCAAAAGACUCAAAAACAUGGGUGUGUAUAUACAUAUAUUCGUCCUAAAGGAUACACGAGGAAACUUAUAAAAAUACGUGAGGUAUUAUUGGUGGCCACUAGACUAGGACUAGACGAGCAGAGAGAUCUUUAUAAAGUAGAUGAUGUGUUUUGUUUGUGUAUAUUAUAUGGUCAUACGACUUCAUGAUUCUUGUUUUGAAAACUUAACAACAAAAGCCCAAUACCCAUUUUUACUAACACACUCUUUUCCAUCUAAUUUUCCAUUUGACUAGUUUUGUUACUUUGUAUGGUGCUUUAAUCCUUGUAUAUAUUUUUUGGGAACUGCAUAAAGAACAAAAUCGAAUCAAUCAUGAACACCUUCUGGCUUCACGUGAACAUGUUGUGCUAAAAAGAUCUUCUGUUCAUAGAAGCUCUCUUAGAGCAACCCCAAUGGGGAUAUUUUAGUGGGUUUCUCUGAUUUUAAAUAAUAAAAAGUAAUAGAUAUGGAUGAAAGAGAAAGAGACAAAAUUCUAAAACAAGGAUUUUUGGAAAGAGGUUGAGAAACUCAAGAGACAGAUGACAUGAUAUAACUUGUCAAUUUUGUUAUUUAUGAUCAAAAAUAUAUAAUAAUAAAUUAAUUAUAUUAAAAUAAUUAAAAUAUUGUUUUUAAGAAACUGAUAAGGAUUUUGAACGUUGGGGUUGCUCUUAGAUCUUUCCUGUUUUUAAACUAUACUCCCUCAGUUUUAUAAUAUAAGUCGUUUUGGAGAAAAAUUUUUGUUUCAUAAUGUAUGUCGUUUUCAAGUUUCAAUGCACUUUAUAUAUUACUUUAAUAUUUAUAAUUAUUUAUAUUAUACAGUUUCUUUUAUGAUUGGUCGAACUUUUUAAAAAUAGAUCUUUUUAAUCUACGUGUUUAAAGUUAAAACGAUUUAUAUAAUGAAACAGAGGAAAUACUAUUGUUUACUUCUGAAUUUUUUAAUGGUCAUGGCGCUACAAGAUGCAUUGCUGGCUAAUUGGAUAUCUGGACUGUAUUCUUUUUUCACCAAUAUUUUGCUUUCAGAAAAAGCCCACGGAGAAUAUAAGUACAGACCGUAAUGACUAUAUAUAACAUAAAUGUCCAAAUAUGAAAAAAUUAUGAAUAUAUGUGAAACCUAAUAAAAGGAAAUUAAAGAAAAUUAAUGAUGAUCUCAUGAGAAAUUAAUACAGUUAAUCCGGAGAAAAUGAUGGUGAUGAUGAGCAUGAGGGAGAGAGAAUGUCCCGCAUGCAUAUUGCAUAAGAAAAAAAGUGAAAAAGGGAAUGGGAACAAACUUGGCUAAAACGGUGAUUAAGGAUUUUCCGGGGUUAACUCUGUUUCCGCUGACUCUUUUAUUACUACAAUUACACAUGUUGCUAAUUUAACGUCUCACUCUUGUUUAAAAAUUCUCAAUUCUAAAAAAAAACUGGAACGUAGCAUAGCAGUAGCACAUUGCUUUCUUUCUUUUUGGUCAAUAGUACCACAUUGCAUUUUUUUUUUCUUUUUUGUCUUAGCCUACAUUCCAAAAAUCAAAUCCUGCAAAAAUUUCUACAGUUAUAGUCAAAAUAAAUUUGUCUUAUUAUUAUUUUCUAAAAAUUAAAUACAACAUUUUAUGCUGUGUUUCAAAAUAUUCGUACAAUUAUUCAUAUAAAAAAACAUUACUGUAUUACUUAAGCUUACAAUUCUAAUACAAGUCAAGUCCGAUAUUUUUAGGGCAUUUGUGUCGUCUUCAUUGAUGCAUUCGGUUCGUCUUUUAUGACUAUAUAUAGGUGUGAAACUGUGAAAUUAAUGGUAAACUUUCCUUAACAUAUAUAAACGCAUUGACUUAAAAUAGAGUUCUAUAGUUCAAUAAAAAGAUAUUUAGAUACAGAUAUAUAUAAAAUCAGAUUCUAGUAUCACGAAGAACAUAUAACCCAAAAACAAAAGUAAUUCGGGGAGGAAUGAUUAUUUCUGAAAAUACUGAUACGACACUAACCAAAGCAAAGAUGUGGUGUUAUGUGUGAUUGUGUGUAUAUAUAUCGACGGUUGCUGCUCUUUCUGUAUAAAAGUCACUACUCGCAAUUAUAGUUUACCAAUUAUCCCUGCAUUUUCUUUUUACUUUUGUUGCCUUUUUUGAAACCUCUGCAUAGUUUAAUUAGAGAAAAUACAUUUGAAAGUACAUUAUAUUUUGUUAAUAAUAAUGAAAAUUGGCAUUAUAUAACCAAAUACGAUUAUCAGUUUUGGCAAUCAUGCGGUGGGGUAAAAAGCAUUUGUCCAUGCAUCGAGCUCUGCGUUAAACGAAUGAUAUAAACAUGCUCCUACAACUAUUUAUCUAUUUUUAAACCUAAAUGUUAAACAAAUGAAUCAAUGUCAUCAUCAAACAAAUUAAAAGCCACAUAGUAUAUAUAUGUAAGUGUUUUUCGUUUGAAUAUUUUUAGACAUUAUGAUAGUCAUUAAUUAACCUUGAGAAAGAAAAAAGAAAUGAAAAAUCUUUUAACCAAAAAGAAAAGAAAAUGUCCGGAAGAUGGAAUGCAGAAAAAAAGCCUUUAUAAAAGCGAACCAAAAGUGUUGACCUUUUUUACAGUCGAGUUCUCAUUUUCAUGCCUCAAAUCUAAAAACAAAUGGCAUGAAUAACAUUUUUCAAUAAUUCUGUGUAUCACUAAUGGACGGCAUUACAAAAUACCGCCAUAGUAUGACAUUACGUCAAAAAAGAAAACUCGAUAUCAUAUUCAUAUUUGUAUAUACAUAUUCUCUUAUAAUCUUUCUAAAACAUAUGAAGACAUGUGUUUAAAUCGAUAGCAUGGUGUUCUGGAAAGUAAAAUUUGAAGCCAUUUCUUAAAUGACUCAAUCAUACCACUGACAUUUUCAUUAUGCGACAAACCCGUCGUUUUUUAGUUUUUUUUUUUUUUUUUUAAACAUCUAGUUUUUUAGUUAUUUUCAUAGUCAAUAACAAUUAAUUAGAUUUAGACUAAGAAUCGAUUGUUAGAUGACAAAAAUCGUGCAUUACUUUUUUUUCCAAGAUAUACGAAUUUAAACAACAACAAAAGCAGUAAACACUAAACACGAAACCUAUUUUGUCAACCCGGUUGUUCCGGCGUAUCUUCUAUAGUAAAUACUCCAUUUGUUUAAUUCCUGACCAUAAAUUUGUUUAGGAAAUAUUAGACCAUGGGCUAAACCUUUUACAAGGGUGUGAGUAAUAAAAAAUAUGAAAAUAAGAGAAUAGUCACCGUGAAUUUUACACUUAUGUGUGAGUUUACACUCGAGUGUGACUUUUUUUCCUCAGUAUUUCUCUUCUUUCUUCUUUCUCUUCUCUCUCUUAAAUACAUUUUAUUAAUAAAAAAAUUUCUAACACUCUUCUCAAAAGUUUGCCAAUGUGUAUGAUCUAAGCUUUAUUGUACAAAAUAUAAGCAUCAUUGACCUUAAUAAAGCCAACAAAAAUAAGUCCAAAAUAUAUAUAUAUAUAUAUAUAUAUAUAUAUAUAUAUAUAUAAGCAUCAUUAAGUUUUUUUUUUUUAAGUUUCAAAUUUUUUUGAGGUGUAAGAAUUUAAUGGAGAUAAAGUUGGAUGGGGGUGGUAGAUUUUGAGGCAAUAAAUAGUGGGGAGAAUUAUGAGUUGUUGCAAUUAAUGCACGCAAGGCAUGCAUUUGUUUUCUCAUCCACACUACUAAUAAUAAGUCCAUUUUUUUGUUGGAGUAUGUUCCAUUUAUAAGAAAAUGAAAAUACUACCACUGAAUCAAAAUAACAAGAGAAAAUAAGUAUGAGUAUUUUUUUUUUUAGAAGAAUAAAGUAUGAGACUAUGAGUAUGCCAAAACAAAUUGUCACAAAGAAUAAAUGAGACUUUGCAGAUUGUGGGAGUGAUGAGUGCGACCUAUCAGUCGACAGAAGGGAAAUAUGAUUCUAUUAUAUAUUAUAAAAUGAUGUCACUUCAUUUGUAUAUUUUCGUCAUUUAAAGUAAGAAAACAAAAAAGGGAUUGACCUUCUUCUUGAAUAUACGUCGAUUUUUUUUUUUGGUUUAGUGUAAAGAUUAUACCAAACAAAAAAGAUUUUUAGUGUAUCAUGGCUAAUUACUAUAGGUCAAAAGCUUGUUAUAAUCUGUAUUAAAAAAUUUAUGUUAUACUACAUGAGCCUAGGAUUCUGCAAUCCACUCCAUGGUGGAGUUUAAAUGGACCCAUCAAUUGGAAGUUGCCUCACACGAACUGAAGUCAGAAAUUGUUAAUUUUUACAUGAUUCUCAAUGAUAUAAUAUGGGCUUACGGAGUACUACAUUGAAAACAAAUACUAUAACUCUUUACGUAUUUCUUAAUUUCUUUAUACGUCCUGUUUUAAUGAUAUAUUUCAAAAUGUUUUAAUUUAAAAGUCACAAACAGAUAAACUCGUGUCUUCUGAGGAAAAGAACUUCGAACGUUUGAUCAAAAUAUAAUAAAUUAUUGUUAUGGGUGAGUUAGCAAAUGUGGAUUCUGAUUAAUAAAUCUAAAGUUGUUCUGCAAUUAAUUCUCUAUUUAAUUCGAUUGUUGUAUCCUAUAAAUUCAUGAUUUGUGACUUCUUAAGGUAAAAUCUCUUGUAAAUUUUAAAAUCUUUGGUUUUCUAUAUAUAUAUAUAUAUAUAUAUAUAUAUGUUUUCUCAUUAAUAAUUUGGUUUUUCAUAAAUCUACUAUAACUUUUAUAAUUUUGAGCAAAUUUCAAUAGCGUUAUUAAAGCAUAGUCAAGUAAAAAUAUGGUGCCGUCUAGGUUGUGGUCCGGAAAAAAAGUUGAGAAAAAAAGGAAAACGAACGGUAUGUCGUAGACGUAAAGGAGAACCCCGUUGAAUUUCCUUUUGACAUUUUUUUUUUUGAAGCUAGAAGCAGAGAAAACAAAAAAAUCCCUAGAAAAUUUAUUGGGUUUCGCUUAUAUCAUUAGGACUUUGGAAAAGUAAGAAUUUUAUUGAGAGAGAAGAAAGAUUGCGUUAUCCUUUAAUCCCCUAUUAUUUACUUGUUUUCCCGAGAACACUCAUUGAGUUUCUUCUAUUUUCAUUGUUUCUUCCACGUUUUCUCCAGUCUCUCUUUCUUCACUGUUUUUCUGUUCAUAGUUGUUAGAUCUUAUGUCUUUUCAAAUCCGAAUCUUAAACUUGAUCUCUUCUCUCAUUUGAUUAAACCCAUCCAGCAAAAAUUCCACCUCUCGAGACACGAUUGUUGUUCGAUCUUCUCCGUAGCUUUGUGACAACAGAAUCUAGGGUUUCGUUUUUUUAUUUUUUGUAUUUUUCUUUUAUUCUUUUAUUUAAGUCUUGGUUCAUAAAUUUUCCUGCUACAAACAACAACUGUACAUCACCAUCAUUAAGAGAAACCCAUCUGCCUCUUUCUCAAUCUCAUAAAUAUUCUCACCGUUCGCUUCUCAUCUAAAUGUUCUCUCUGUAGCUUUUCUCUCUACAGAUAACCCUUUUUGCUCCUUAAUGUGUGAGUACCUCUCAAUAUUACAUUCGACAGAAAGGAAAUGAGUGAAGUUUUUGGGAUCUUUAAUCUUUUUUGAUCAUGCGGGUUUGACAAAAGAGUCUCUUACAGAGAUCUUUGGCAUUCUGUCCACCUCCUCUCUCUAUAUGUAUAUGUAUGAGCGCUGUCUUGUGAGGGGAGGUGGACAUAUUGCCAACAGAGAUCUGUUAGGGUUUCUUUGUAAAACCCCUCAUGAUUUGAUAUUUUCAAGAUAUGAGACGUUGGCUCUUGGUGAUCAAGAUUAUUUGUUGAAUUCUAAGAUCUAAUUCUGAAGAAAACCGGGUAUUAUCUCAAAUCUACUCUCAUUUUUUUUUUUAAUAUGUGUGAUCAUUACUUGUUCUUGAUUAAGUCAAUUUCAUUUGUCAUUUGCUAUCUCCUUUGAUUUAUCUCUUAAAGGUUUUAUGCUUUCUUUGAUCGAGACUCUAAUCCGAUGGUGGUUUCAAAGAUGGAUCACAUUCACAUUUGAUUGUAAGAAGUUCUCAACAUCUUUUAAUUUGCAACGGCGUUGACAAAUGUGAGAUUUCAGAGUGGUGGCGUUUGAGACGUUUACAUCAUCUAGGAAAGGUAAAUUAUGCAUAAAGAAAGAGGACCCAUUACUCCAUAUAAAGGCACAGGUAAAUUGAAAUCAUAGGAGAAUAUGGUAAUGAAAAGGAGAAUUUACUCUUCCCUUUUUCUUUUUUUUUAAUAACUUACUCUUCCCUUUCUAUGUUUGUGAAGCCCACACAAUGUUAUUUAUUAUGAUGUCUUGUUUUCUUUUAAGUUGGAAUCUAUAUAUAUAGGCUAUUAGCAAGUGAUUUUUUUUUUGUUUAUAUAUUAUCUGAUGAGAUUUGUUUAAUCUGAUAAAUGGUUGGAGAAAUAUCAAGUUCAAUCUUAAAGUAGAUGUAGUAUUUUCUUAGGCUUUAUUAUGAUGUUUCUUUUGUUAAAGUCGGAUUGUGUAUAUAUAAUAAUAUAUACUCAUGUAUAGUCGCAUGUUUCUAUAUGAUGUCUUGAUGUAUGCAUGUAUUCUAACUUCAGGACUUUCAAUUGAGGUAUGAAUGCCGAGAUAUGACGAUUCCGACAAUGUUGUGUUUCUUUAUGUUGAUUUUUGAUUAAUUAGGUUUUAGAUGGUACCAAAAUGAUUUGCAACUUUUCUUGUAUUUUGAUUAACUAAGAAACUAGCUGUUAUUUUAUGGGGGAAAAUGGAAAGCAAAAUCAAGUUUACAAUAGGACUUUUGUCAGUGCUCUUACUAUUGUUACGAUUAUUAGAAUUUAAGGGGUUUUUUUUCCCGGUUAAACAAGGAUUUUAACGUUGAGAAAGUAACCAUUGUAUAAUGCUCGACGUCUUUAAUGUGCCUAUAGUAUAGUUCUACGGAUUUAAAUAAUAUGAAAAAUUACAGUGCUCUACGUCAAAGAAAAAAUAAAAGAAAAUAAGAAUUCAACUUGAACUUUCCCUAGUAACCUCAUCAUUGGAAGUGUGUCAGUAGCAUUUAAAUUAUCCUUUCAAGGCAAAUCUCCAAACGCGAUUUAAUUAUGCGCGUGACUCCCAAAUUUCCGUUCUCGUUUAUGUAGGUCAAAGUUGCUUUACCUUGUAAUUUUUUUUGUUCGGUCAAUUCACAAAAACUCCUGUAAUUAUGUUUCCGUAGUGUAGCGCAUGAUUAUUAUUCUGCGUAAUACAGACUCUUAAAGAAAACAAAUGCAGUAGUCCAAAACCUACUUUCUAGAAUAAAAAAGAAAAAAUGUUCUUUUGUUUCCUCCUAAACGGUGAAAAGAAUCUGUCGCAAUUGUUUACAUUUAUGGAAAGUUUGACUCGUGAAGAAAACGAGAGCUUAUUGGGCUUUAUGUUGGGCUCAAGUUUAUUCAGCAGGUCUAGACUUCAUAAUUAUAUUAUAAAGUUUCAGCCCAAAAGGCUUUAAACUUGGUAUAAAAUGCUAUGCAAUUUUUUUUAAUUUUUUUUUUGCUAAAUAUGUUAAUAUUAUUAUAAAUUAAAAUUAGACUUUACAAAAGAGUAGUACCUACCUAAAGAGUAGCCAAAGCAAAAAGAAUAAAAACAAUGCUGCAAUAGAAUUGGGAAAUAUUUGAGGUGAUUAGCGAAUCCAUAGGAGCAUUAGCCUUUGCCAACGCUUUCGAUUUCGUCUAGAAGAGAUUACGUUGCGAAGUUGACGAUCAACCAAUUUGAAGAUAACAAGGGGGGGGGGGGGGGACAAACCAAUUGAGUUGUGCAAAACAUUAUUCCGUUGUCACCAAAUGUUAUAAAUCACUGCUGCUUGAGCUAUUAUUUUCAGUAGAAGAUCAGGAGCUAUGCAAUUAUGCAUAAUUUUUGCAUACUAUAAUCAAUAAUCAUAUGUUAAAACAUAUGAAUUAGUAGCUGAUCAAGAUGUUUUCUUAAGUGAAAAACCUAAUAUAUAUAUAGUUGGCACUUGGCAGUGGAUAUAAAAUUUUGAAAAGUCUACCAAUCAGUCAAUCACAGGUAUCUUAGUCAAGUUGAUUAAAUAAAUAAAAAAGACACAUACAAAUAUAUUUUUGAAUGAGAGAACAUAAUUGAUUAAAUUUUGGUACCAUAUCCAUAAGUACUCGAUAGAACGACGAAACCAUGUUGACGACAUAUUAUCGAUAAUCUCGGAGAAGAAGAAGGAGAGGUAGAGAGAAAAACCGAUGCUCACAGCGUUUGCAAGUCACGCGCGUUCUCACGUUUUCGCGUUUGUUACCGUCCCAACAAUCACGCGCCGCCUCCGUAUAAAUACAUUACGCCAAUCAUCUCUCUCCUCUUUUCUUCUCCUAAACGAAACCUUCUCCAAUCGACCCAAUUCUGUUUCUCGUUGUUUUUGUUGUUCGAGCUCUGCGAUUAUGGGAUCUUCUUCGGUGUUAGGCGAGCGAUUACAUUACCCUGCGACUCGGCGUGGUGAUUCCGUCGUCGAUAACUAUCACGGCGUUAAGAUCGGAGAUCCGUACCGUUGGUAAGAGCUCGUUUCCAGCUGCAAUUUCUCUCUUGCGUUUAGGUUUUUGUAAUGGUUCAAAUGGGAUUUGAAUUUUCUGCAUAUCGCUCUCUGAGGAAUAAGCAGACAUUGGAUUUGACUUGGCGAUUGACCUGAAGAUUAAUUCCUUAAUUGUUGGAGAUUUUGUGUGAUUUGUUCAUUUUUGUUAUGCUUUUGCGUUGAAUUUGUCAUUCUGGAUUGUUUUUUUGAUAGGUUAGAGGAUCCUGAUGCUGAAGAAGUAAAGGAGUUUGUGCAGAACCAAGUGAAAUUGACAGAUUCUGUGCUUGAAAAGUGCGAAACCAAGGAGAAGCUCCGUCAGAAUAUAACGAAACUUAUUGAUCAUCCGCGUUACGAUUCUCCGUUCAGGCAAGGGGAUAAGUACUUUUACUUCCAUAACACCGGUCUACAGGCCCAAAGUGUGCUUUAUAUGCAGGUAUUUGUUGAGAGCCAUGGCUUUCGUAUCAGUACAUACAUGCAUUUUCUAGCGUUGUUUACUCAUUGAAUUUUGUUGCAUUCGGGUUCAGGAUGAUCUGGAUGCUGAGCCAGAGGUUUUGCUUGAUCCAAACACUCUUAGUGAUGAUGGAACUGUGGCCUUAAACACCUUUUCUGUCAGCGAGGAUGCUAAGUACUUGGCCUAUGGUCUUAGUUCAAGUGGUAGCGACUGGGUGACCAUUAAGCUGAUGAAUAUCGAGGAUAAGAAAGUGGAGCCUGAUGUUUUAUCAUGGGUAUGGUCUUUAAGAUGGUACUGAUUAGUGGGGUUGAUCAAUAAACUUCUACCGUCAAGAUUUCUGAUAUAUUUAUGAUCCUCUCGUGGAACAGGUUAAGUUUACUGGCAUUACAUGGACGCACGACAGUAAAGGAUUUUUCUAUGGUCGCUACCCAGCUCCCAAGUAAGUACAAGAUGUGUUGGUAGAAGCCUUUCAAUAUAGUUAAGAUAGCUAAGUUACUCUAACAAUUUUAUUUGUCUUUUGCAGAGAAGGAGAGGAUAUUGAUGCUGGCACUGAGACGAAUUCUAACCUUUAUCAUGAGCUGUAUUACCAUUUCCUUGGGACGGAUCAAUCUCAAGAUAUCUUAUGCUGGAGAGAUCAUGAGAAUCCCAAAUAUAUGUUCGGAGCUGAAGUCACUGACGAUGGGAAGGUAACACUGGGUUCUUUUAACUUUGAUUACGCUCUUAAUCCUCAAUUUUUUUUUUCUGUAAAUACUGUCGGAAAAUCAUUUUGAUCCUUUCCCUUUUUCUAAAUGAUGGGCAUGACUUCAAACUGUUUUACCUAGUUUUGUAGACUGAAACUUGGAUUCUUAGUUUUAGGUCUAAUCUCAUAAUGUUGUUUCUUCUUGCAGUAUCUGUUCAUGAGCAUUGGAGAGAGUUGUGACCCAGUCAACAAAUUAUACUACUGCGAUAUGACUUCAUUUUCGGGAGGUCUUGAGAGUUUCAGAGGAAGCAGCAGUUUUCUUCCAUUCAUUAAGCUUGUUGACACGUUUGACGCUCAAUAUAGUGUUAUCUCAAAUGAUGAGACUCUGUUUACUUUCUUGACAAAUAAAGAUGCCCCUAAGUACAAAUUAGUCCUGGUUGAUCUAAAGGAACCAAACAGUUGGACUGAUGUUGUUGAAGAACACGAGAAGGAUGUCUUAGCAUCAGCUUGUGCAGUCAAUGGGAAUCAUCUGGUCGCAUGCUACAUGAGCGAUGUAAAGCAUAUUCUGCAAAUUAGGGACUUGAAAUCUGGUUCAUUGCUUCACCAGUUACCUCUAGAUAUUGGUUCAGUAUCUGAUGUUUCUGCUCGGCGCAAGGACAAUACCUUUUUCUUUAGCUUUACUAGCUUCCUCACUCCUGGUGUGAUUUACAAGUGUGACUUAGCCAAUGAAUCUCCAGAAGUUAAGGUAUUCCGGGAGGUUACUGUACCCGGAUUUGACAGGGAAGCAUUUCAAGCCAUUCAGGUUACACACUCUCUUGUAGUGGAUAUUCCUGUCUCUUUCAUAAUUUACUUUUACUUUGCAUAUGUUAAAGUCUCUUCUGCUCCUCUUUAUAGGUCUUCUAUCCCAGCAAAGAUGGAACAAAGAUACCAAUGUUUAUUGUGGCGAAAAAGGAUAUUAAGCUUGAUGGAUCACACCCAUGUUUGCUCUAUGCAUAUGGCGGGUUUAACAUAAGCAUAACACCGUCUUUCAGUGCCAGCCGCAUUGUGCUUAGCAAGCAUCUCGGUGUUGUUUUCUGCGUUGCAAAUAUUCGGGGUGGUGGGGAGUAUGGUGAGGAAUGGCACAAAGCAGGUUCACUUGCCAAAAAGCAGAACUGUUUCGAUGACUUUAUUUCUGGGGCAGAGUAUCUCGUGUCCGCUGGUUAUACACAACCGAGCAAGCUGUGUAUUGAAGGUGGCAGCAAUGGUGGACUCCUAAUCGGUGCUUGCAUAAAUCAGGCAAGUCUGUGUAUAUUUAUAAAGCUAAUUGCAAAUUUCAUUUCAAUUAGUUGCCACACUUAUUCAUAAAAUUUUCAAUUCUGCUGCACAGAGGCCAGACCUUUUUGGGUGUGCUUUAGCUCAUGUGGGCGUCAUGGACAUGCUACGGUUUCACAAGUUCACUAUAGGUGAGUGAGUUCAGUUAUCUGCAAUUUUUUCGUUUGUUUGUUUUUUUUUUUUUUGCAUAAUGUAUAUAUAGUUGAGGUGUUACGUAUGUAUAGGUCAUGCCUGGACAUCUGAUUAUGGUUGCUCCGAGAAUGAAGAGGAGUUUCAUUGGCUGAUAAAGUAAGUAUAUUAACGUAUGAUAUGAUGUUGUAUUGAUUUGUUUCCCAAUGCUGAUACAAAGUUAAAAUCUGGGUGUGAAUGUAAAAAGGUACUCGCCUCUGCACAAUGUGAAGAGGCCAUGGGAGCAACAAACCGAUCAAUUCAUUCAGUAUCCAUCAACCAUGCUAUUGACUGCUGAUCACGAUGACAGAGUUGUGCCACUUCACUCUUUGAAGUUGCUUGCGGUCUGUUUCCAGACUUUAUUUCUUUAAUGUUAAUUUAUUUUUAAUCUUACCUUAAGUAGCCAGCAGAUUGUUCAAACUCGUACACAUUUGCAGACGUUGCAGCACGUGCUGUGCACAAGCUUAGAGAAUAGUCCUCAGACGAACCCCAUAAUUGGUCGUAUUGAAGUAAAGGCUGGCCAUGGUGCCGGUCGCCCAACCCAAAAGAUGGUAAUGAAAAAAAUCUAUCGUUUCUUAGGUUUUACAUUAUAUAUAACAUACAUUUUCCCAUGGUUAACUGAUAUUGAGAUGUUCAUCAGAUUGAUGAAGCUGCUGAUCGGUAUUCGUUCAUGGCAAAGAUGGUGAAUGCUGCAUGGACGGAGUAAAACAAUUCCUUUACCUACAGGCACCAAAUAUCUUUUCUCAAUUGUUCUGUCCAAAAAAGGACCUUGUAUGAGUUAGUGACAGUUACAUAUAAACACAGGCUUGGGACACAUUUUUCAGUUUUUAAUUGACACCCAAAAAGGAUUUUGUUCAAUGAAUUUUGCUUUAUCCUAUACGCAUUUUGCGUCCCUCUACAACACAUAACGAUACAACUAACCAAUUCAGGAAAUUGUGACGGCCAUCAAAAAGAAAAUAAGACAAAGCAAAUGUGAAAAGAAAUACCUCUUUCCAAAGAAAUUUCAGCCAGCGAACAGAGUAUAUCAAAUUUUUCCAUUGUAUCAGUAGGCUGUUUGUCAGUAAUAGCCAUUGCAAUGUCCAGCAUUUUCCAGGCCAUAUUCAAAUCAGACUCAUCUUCAUCAGCAUCAGCAUCAGAUAGGUCAUCAUCAUGACAAUCUUCACCAUCCUCUCCUUGGUCUUUACCACCAGAACCUAUGCAUGAGGGAAAAAGAGAAGUCAGCAAAACAAAGAAGCAGAAGCAUCAACACCCAUGAGCUUAAACAAGAACAAUUCCCAAUUUUCAGUACCUUCUUGCCCACGUGAACUCCCUUGUCUCUCUGGGUUACUAGAAACAACAGAUGGAGCCAAAGAUUCACCAUUGCUGGACUCCUGCUGAACUUCGCCUUCUUUCUUGGGUAUGUUACCAAGUGGAUCAGCUUCAGCUUGAGCCUUUCCAGGAGAGCUGUUCCAUAUCGAUAGCUCAGCAUCAAGUUCACCAUAAUGUGCAACCCUAAACCAUGUCAAUUAAAAACAAGCAAUGUUUCUUUAGAUCCUUUGCUAAAAGGAACAGAAUUCAGUUGAGUGAACACACAAUUGAAUCUCAACCAAAAACCCAGAACCAUGAUUAGAUCGUUCGAGCCCCAUAAGGUAAAUCAGAAACAUUUGAAACCCUAAACCCUUGAUUUCGAGGAAGACUUGUAUCGUCGUAAAACCCUCUCUUCGCUUUUUUGGCGGAAUGGAACCCAAAAAUUAAAGAAUUUGGGGAGAAAAUUAAUUUUCAUUUUUAAUUAAAUAAUUCACGGAAAAUAGACCAAUAAAAAUGCGUACGUUAUGGAGUCUAGCUAACCUUCUGCGCUAGACUCCAUAACGUAAAUCGUUUAAUUUUCAAACUUAAAUGUUAAAUUAAGUAAAUAUUUAAGUAAGGGUUUUUAAUUUAAUUUAGAGAAAUUGUUAAAAAUGCCCAUUUUUCAAUACCCCUUUUCAAAAAUGUCCCCUUUGAGAGUUCAUUUUUAAGUUUGCCCUCUUUUAAUUUUUAAUGACCAUUUACCCUUAUUUGAAACAAAAUUAGAUCCACAAAAUACAAAAUAUUUUUUGGCGGGAUAAGUGAUCCCGCAAUUUUCCCGCCAAAACACUUGUAGAAACCUUUAAAAUACCUUGUAAAAUUUUUCCGUAAAAAAUUUUCCCGCCAAAAAAUUUUCCCGCCAUAAACUUUUUUUCCCGGGAAAAGUAAUUCCGCAAUUUUUUUGGCGAAAUUUUCUUGGCGGGAAAAAUUUAAAAGAUAUUUUAAUGGUUUUACGGAGUAUUUACAAGUGUUUUGUAAGGUUUUACAAUGUAUUUUAAAAGGUUUUACAAGGUACUUAUAAGGUUUUAUAAGAUAUUUAUAACUUGUAAAACCUUAUAAAAAAUUUGUAAACCCUUAUAACUUGUAAAACCUUAUAAAAUAACUUGUAAAAUCUUAUAAAUACCUUAUAAAUACGUUGUAAAACCUUUUAAAAUACAUCGUAAAACCUUAUAAAUACAAUGUAAAAAACCUUUAAAAUACCUUGUAAAUUUUUCCCGCCAAAAAUUUUCCCGCUAAAAAUUUAACGCCAAAAAAAUUGCGGAAUCACUUUUUCCGCAAAAAAAAUUUUUUGGCGGGAAAAAUUUUACGGGAAAAUUUUACAAGGUAUUUUAAAGGUUUUACAAGUUUUUACAAGUGUUUUGGCGGGAAAAAUUGCGGGAUCACUUUUCCCGCCAAAAAUUAUUUUGUAUUUUGUGGACCUAAUUUUGUUAUAUUUUCUUAUAUAUUUGUGAUAUCUUUUAUUAAAAGAAGAGUAAUUUAGUCAUUUUAUAAUUAAAAAGGGGUAUUUUUAAAAAUGGACAGCCAAAUGGGGCAUUUUUGAAAAGGGGUAUUGAAAAAUGAGCAUUUUUGUGAGUCUCCCUUUAAUUUAAAGAUUUUUCAAAAAAAAUAUUUAAGUAAAUCGUUUAGAUAUAUUUUCUAGCUAAAUUUUUUUUAUUAUAUAAAAUAUUUUCAAACUUAAAUGUUAAAUUUAGAUGCGUGAAAACGGUUAGACUUACAUCCCGUCCUUUUGGUCCGUAAGUCUUGUGGUGUUAUAAUUUCAACAUGUUUCACGUAUUUAGAUUUAAUUUUAAGUUUUUUUCAAAAAAAAUGUUUUAAGUAAAUCGUUUAGAUAUAUUUUGUAGCUAAAAGUUUUUUAUUACACAAAAUAUUUUCAAACUUAAAUGUUAAAUUUAAAAACAUGAAAACGGUUAGACUUAGCAUCCCGUCCUUUUCGUCCGUAAGUCUUGUGGUGUCAUAAGUUCAACAUGUUUUCACGUAUUUAGAUUUAAUUUUAAGGUUUUUUCAAAAAAAUGUUUUAAGUUAAUCGUUUAGAUAUAUUUUGUCGCUAAAAGUUUUUUAUUACACAAAAUAUUUUUAAACGUAAAUGUUAAAUUUAAAUACAUGAAAACGGUUAGACUUAGCAUCCCGUCUUUUUGGUUUGUAAGUCUUGUUGUGUCAUAAGUUCAACAUGUUUUCACGUAUUUAGAUUUAAUUUUAAGGUCUUUUCAAAAAAAAAUGUUUUAAGUAAAUCGUUUAGAUAUAUUUUGUAGCUAAAAGUUUUUUACUAUACAAAAUAUUUUCAAACUUAAAUGUUAAAUUUAAAUACAUGAAAACGGUUAGACUUAGCAUCCCGUCCUUUUGGUCCGUAAGUCUUGUGGUGUCACAAGUUCAACAUGUUUUCACGUAUUUAGAUUUAAUUUUAAGGUUUUUUCAAAAAAAUGUUUUAAGUAAAUCGUUUAUAUAUAUUUUGUAGCUAAAAGGUUUUUAUUACACAAAAUAUUUUCAAACUUAAAUGUUAAAUUUAAAUACAUGAAAACGGUUAGACUUGGCAUCCCGUCUUUUUGGUUUGUAAGUCUUGUUGUGUCAUGAGUUCAACAUGUUUUCACGUAUUUAGAUUUAAUUUUAAAGUCUUUUCAAAAAAAAUGUUUUAAGUAAAUCGUUUAGAUAUAUUUUGUAGCUAAAAGUUUUUUACUAUACAAAAUAUUUUCAAACUUAAAUGUUAAAUUUAAAUACAUGAAAACGGUUAGACUUAUCAUCCCGUCUUUUUGGUCCGUAUGUCUUUUAGUGUCACAAGUUCAACAUGUUUUCAGGUAUUUACAUUUAAUUUUAAGGUUUUUUUCAAAAAUAAUGUUUGAAGUAAAUCGUUUUGAUAUAUUUUUUAGCUAAAAGUUUUUUAUUAUACAAAGUAUUUUCAAACUUAAAUAUUAAAUUUAAAUACGUAAAAACGGUUAGACUUAGCAUCUCGUCUUUUUGGUUCAAGUCUUGUGGUGUUAUAAGUUCAACCUGUUUUCACGUAUUUAGAUUUAAUUUUAAAGUUUUUUCAAAAAGUAUUAUCAACCCAAUAUGUUUCAAUAAAAUGUACAUUUAAAAAUUAAGUAUAUUAAUAAUGACUCUUUACGCCAAGCAAACAUCAAGAGUCUUCUGACAUUUUUAUUGCCUUUCGUCUGGUAGAAGAAGCUAAGGACCUAACAUUCUAAAGUGACGAAGAUAAACCGCGAAUAUCAACAUAACCAGCUAACACGGUUUUGUUCCUUUCCCUCACUUUCGUCUGAUAUAUAACCCUGUGAAAACAUGAAAAGCUAAGUUCAAGUUUUACUUAAAACAAUAAUAUGGAUAAUCUAUGUAAUAUAUUACCAAUGAACAAUACAAGGGAGGGAGUGAGAGAGAGAGAGAGAGAGAGAGUUCUACCUCAAGCCUUCAAGCCACAUUUCGGUUAUUAGAGUUUCGCCAGGAAAAACAGUCGUGAGGAAUCGUCCAGAUAUGGUUUUGACAGCAGUUGGGUCACCCUUGCAAACACACUUGAUGAUUGCCUUGAUUGCAAACCCGAGUGUGCAUAGCCCAUGCAAUAUCGGGCGUGGGAAUCUUCAAUGAAACAAGUGUCAGUCGUGUGGCAGUGAUGUGCAAGUUUUGGAAGAAAGGAAAAAAAAAACAUUUAAGUUGUAACUACUACCCAAAGAUUCCAUGUAAUGCCUUGAGUAAUACAAUGAAUAAUGAGGGAUUUGAAACAUUUUAAUCUGUUGGGCUCAAAUAACAAAACUUCUUUGACACAAAAGAGCUUUCGUAUACCAUCAAAAGAAUAGUACAAGUUAGCAUUGAUAGCUCAAAACUAUGAUGGAACUUCUUAAGAUUCAUUUCUUGCAGAAAAAUGUUGCCGAAGCCGUUUAUGGUUAUAUCCUCCGAAUUAUUGAAUUAAAACGUUGCUAUCUAAGAAGAAAAAAAACGAACUAGGAAGCUAUGAUCUAGCAUGAAAAUGACUGAAUGAGAAGCCUGAAUGAGAAGCUAUAUAAGUGGUUCACUAACCCGGCAAGUUUUGCAAAUUCUGGAUCUGAAUGCAGAGGGUUAUAGUCACCAGACAGCCUAUAAAGCAAUGCCUGCCAGGAAAUAUAAACCAGAGGGUCAGAUAAAGUAAACAACUAGGCGUUAAAGGGACCAUAAACAACUUAAAUGAAUAUCACAAGUACACCAAAUCAAGCACAAAACAAAUCCAAAUAAGUUUUUGAUUAACUUGCCUGCGAUGGUUGGGUGCGCUCUUCGCACACUGUCAAAGGUUGUCUUUGUGGGAUUUUCACAGCUAAGCCCUGGUUACUUGGAUAGUUUUUGUAAGAAAAUGGUUGAGAUGAAUUUGAGAAACCACCAGCACCUCUUAGAAAUACAGUCGUCCUGCAGAGAAAGUCCCAAGUUUAGUUCACGAGUGUCCAAACUUAAUUUCCCAGAAUAAGUACUUACAGAGACGUAAUUUACCUAUUCAUGCAUAACAGUUCCCCUGACCCUUCCUCGUAACUUCUGGUUUCUAAUUCAAGGAUAGCUGCUUUACCUAAAAGAUUGCCAUCAGAGAGAAAAAAAGAUGAUCAAUUUAAAAGUCAACUUUUAGUUCUCUGUAGUAGUUAGUUUUCUGCUUAAAAUUGGAGUCACACAAAACAGAAACAGCAGUACCAAGUACCUUUAUCUUGCAAUCCAGCGAGGCUUACUUUGUUAACUAACUGCGCCAACACAAACAAGAUCAAUUCAGAAAAAUUAAGCAAAGGCCACUUUGGAUAUAGAAGAAAAACCAAUCAGAAAGUUCUUGAAGAUCUAAUUCCCACGGUCCUCUAAAACCAAUCAGUAUAAGGGUACAGUGCCUAAUUAUCAAAAACAGUUCCUAUAUACAGGUAAAGGCUAGUUACAGAAGCCUUGGAAGGUAAUGGCCUGUAUAUUUCAAUGUACUGCUGUCCAUGCAACAAGAGACUAGGAUCGUAUCUGCAGACAAGAUACAACAACAUCUUCAUGUCUUUGGAGCUUUCUCAUAUAAAACCACAAUAAAUAAACAUAAAACAGAACAUUUUUGCUUACUUAAAACCUGGCAAAUCCAGACCUUCUGUCAAAGAUCCAAGUGUGAAUAGUGAAGCAAAAGUUGGUAAGACCUAUAAUUGAAAGCAAAGAACAACGAUUACUCAAAUAAAUAAAUAAACAUAGCUAAAUCCAGAUCAAUCAUUGAGAGAUACCUGGAUCAAAUCCUGGCCGUUUCUGUGAUACACAUACUUGAGCUCAUCGGAAUCAACAGCAUCUUGGCCACAAGCGCCGAUUCCCAAAGCAUAGAUUGCUACAUCUCUAUUUUACACAAGUGAAAAAAUCAAAUUCUUCAUCGAUCUCUUUCCUUAAUUGUUUCAAUUUCCUAAUAUCCUUCGAUUUUCUAUCAUACACACAGACACAAGAGUAGGGAGAGAAACACGAAGAGUGAAGAUGCAAACCUUUCGUUGUAGGUGUAUCGCGUCUGUGAGCAAAACCAGAAGGAAAAAAAGGCGAUCAAAGAGAGUGCGAUUACAGAGAAGUUUUGGCUCGAUCACCGAAAGAUCUGAUCAGAAAUCAAUAAGAAUGAAGAAACGAAAACAAACCUCGGGAAGCUUGUGAGCGAGAAGAAGAUCAGAAUUGAAUUCAGAAUCGGUAGUCGCCAUCUCCGAUCAGGAUUAGAGCUCAGCUUCCGUGUCCCAGCUGAUUUUUCUCCUUUCAGUGUUCAACGUUUAGAUAAGUCGUUUUCUCUAUAUACAGAGAGUAAACGACGUCGUUUUGCUUAUACAUAAGAUGGAUAUAGGAUUUUAUUUUUUUAAUUAUUAUUUUUGGUCUUAUUCUAUAACACACACGAUCAAAUUAUUAAGCACGGUCGCAAAUUGUAUACUAGAACAUUAAUAAUAGCUGUUUGACAAAAAAAAAAAAAAAAAAAAAACAUUAAUAGCUUUUCAGGUGGAGAAAAGAAAGCCAAGGAAUUAGACAAGUUAUCGGCCACGUUAGACGAUGUGGAUAAGAUGAUAUGUUUUAAAUUAUGAAUCUUUGAGAACUAUCCUAAGGCGCAAUGAUACUUUAAAUGGGAUAUAUGCUUCUUACUUGCUUUGGUUAGACCAUACCAUAGUGGUUCAACAAGACCCCACUGGGAGCAUCAACAUUUGGCCAUGAUACUCUUGAGUCUACUAACCAGUAACAACCUCAAUCGUAUUAAACUAUAACACUGUUGAGGAUAUAUAAGCUUUACGAUGAAACUGUAGAAUUAUAUUGAAUAAAAGUUUCGCUCCAUAGAAAAAGAAAGAAUAUAAGAAUGAGACCUCGAGCUGAGAUCGUUACAAACUGAUAUACUGAUUUUACCAAACUCUUUUCAUUCAUUAGCAAAAUGAAGAAUGUGUAAAACAAGAAACCCGCCUCCAGAACGCGUCAGCUGGCUUGGCUGACCAUCUCUCCGUAAUCUCUCUAUCUAACAGCAAGCUCAAAGCGGUCUGGUGCGGCGACCACUGGCUCUACCGCAGAGAAGAGCGUUCUUGGGGAUUGGAUAUUCAUCUCUGAGAGAAGUCGAGGGUGUGUAGACACGUAAAUACAACUGUUGUCCUAAGUAUUGCCUCGCCCAGAACUCGGAUCUUAGGUUCCACAUUCCUACGUUGUCGAGUGCUAUUAAUAUAGCUGUCCAUGAGCUCGGAUAUACCUGUAUAUGAAUGUUAAUCAAACGGUUCACAUUUGACAAAAACACAUGAUUAGAUUGUGGCUUUAGUAUGUGGAAGCUGUGGUUUACCUGCACGGUGCAGCGAGCGACUGCAUCGCGUAGAUUGUACACGUUCCUACUGUCUGGACUCCACUGCCCACCGUCCAUUCUGUAUCAGAAGAACCAUCUUUAGUCCAAUUUCUUAUAGCGAUCAAGAUCAAGAACUCUCUUUUUAUGAAUGGAAGAAUGAAACUUACCCAACAACCCAGAAAGAGUAACCAUCAAGAUGCCAGCUCUGGACAAUAUCUUCAGAGUUUUCGAAAACAAUCUCCACAAAGGUUCUGUAGUCAACUUGCAUAACAGAUGUGUCGAGGUAUAUUCCUCCACCAGUGGGUUGGUAUUGUAUGCUUCCACUUCUGAAAACACCGUCAAUCUUGAAGUAGUCCGCGAUUUUAAGAGGAGUGUCUGCUGGUUUGAAUGAUACACUGUUCACAGCGUAUCGUUGUUUCCCAUCGACCUGACCAGCAGAGCUAGCAAGUCUGAUUGUUCUUGUAGUGUUUAUCAUACCGUAGUGGUAUGAUCCUUGUGGAUUCGGUCUUGGUCCGCUCGCUGUAAGGUUAGUCCUACAACAAACAAACAUAACAAAUCAAAACUUUUAGGCACAACCAACCAAAUCCUACAAGAAGCUUUUUUAUGUGCACAGUUAGUAUACCUGAUGGCUCGAGCCUGGUUCAAGGACCAGUCAAUUUGAAUGGUUGGUCCACCGGGAAUAGGUCCAGAAACAGCACCAGCAGAGUUACUGUAACGGAGAAUACCCGUGGUGGUGAGGACAUUAGAGGUAAACCGAGAAGAGACGACCACGUAAUAAUCUCGAGGAGUUUGAUCCGCAGUUACAAGGACCGAGUAAGAUUGGCCAACAUGAACAUCUAGCGAAGAGAAAGUAGUCUGAAGGGUAUGUGUCCCUUCGACUUCGAUCACUUUCAUCUUAUGGUCUUGAAUGCGGAAGUUGAGAGAGUCUUGUAACCCAACAUUUGAUAUUCUCAACCUGUAUGUCUUACCUGAAGAAGAAGAAGAAGAAUAAGAACUCACAUCAUCAGUGUAAACUCUAGUAAUGCCUCAAUCAAUCAGAACUCAAAAAGAGGAAGGGUUAAAAGAAACCUUGUUCAACAUUGAGAGUGGCACCACUUGAACGACCAUUGAUGAGGAUACCGUCUGGUAAAGGAAGCUUCUUACCACUAUCAAGCUGUGCCCUCAAAUCCUACACAAACCAAUUUUCACACAAAAUUGAAAAUAAGUUGAAGUCCGUUAUGGAGUUAGUUACUCUGUUUCACUCUACUCUGUUUUAAGCUUAUGCAUCUUGUAUAUAAACACUUUUAAGUUCAUUUGAUGAAGUUAAUGAGAAAAUCAGAUCACAUGGGUCUAAUAAUUACCGUGUGGUUUGAUUUGUACCAGUCGCCGAUAAGGACGGUGGUAUCUCCGGCGGGAUCAGGGAAAGGGACGGGGAUUCUCGGGCGACUGAGAAUACGGAUACCGCCAAAUCCACCGGCGGCUUUGUGGAAACCGAGAGAAGGGAAGUAGUAGAAACUUCCGAUCUGAUCCUUCAUCUGAAGAAUGUAAGUGUAGUUCUUCCCCGGCGGAAUUGGACAUGUCGUUCCAUACACUCCAUCGACGAAAGAGUUCCUCCUCUGCUGAAUUCCAUUCCUGCGAAUUUUUUCCAAAAUAUUUAUGUUUAACCCCAAAACUAUCAUGAAUUGUUAAUCUUGCCCCUUAAAAUUCUGCAGUAAUCAAUUUUACCCCAAACUAUUAUGAAUUGUAAAUUAUGCCCCUGAAAAAGGUGCUACCAUGGAGAUAAAAAGUUAACUCAAACGUAGGAGUGUACAGCUAAUAAUUUUGGUAAGGUGGACCAUUUUCCCACAUGUAAAUGUUUUAAAUUAUGUAGUCACUGUCCAGAAAUUGUCAUGCAUAUGAAAGCUAAGCAAAAGUCAGAAAACUAUACAAUAAUAUAUGAUGUAAUUGAAUUUAACCGUAAUCACCCAACUAAUCAUGUCGCGUUGUGGAUAAAUUAAUUACAGUAUUACGUGGACCGAGUCCGACAUAAGGUGUAUCUUUACGUACCACAGGGUUUUUUUUUUUUUUAAACACGUUUUUAUUUUUACAUCACUGUUUUGAAAAAGGACAUGAAAUACUAUCCACGAGAAAAAGAAAAAAUAACUACUACACCUAGCCACUACUAUCAAUCGACAACGACAGAAUUCAAUAUUAUAGGGACCAAAAUAUCGAAUUAAACUUAAAAUUUGUUGAUUUGAAAUUUGGUUUAGAUUUAGAACAAGAUUUAGAAAUAGUUACCAUGAAAGGAGGAAAGGUUCGUCGAGGCUAUUGUAGACGUUAAUGAUGAGAUUAUCAUUAGUAACUGAGUGAAUGUCCGGUCCCGGAAACUGCCCGUUGAUCAGUAUACCCUAAACCGGAAAGUGCAGCGAGAUCCACAGAUUAUUAAUAACCGGGAUCUAUAAACCAAACCGGGAGGGAAUUAACUAAACUGUACGAGAGAAUGAUCAGUACCUGUUGGCGAACUCCGAGUGGGUAGAUAUCGCCGUAAGUGAUGUUCCAUUCGAAGAAUCUGUACGGAUCUUCCGCCACGACGGCGAAGAGAAGCGAGAGUCCAAUGAGUAAUGCGGCGGCGAAUGAGGCAUUGGCCGCCAUUUUUUUGGUAUGAAAACCGGUGAAAGAAGAAAGGUAUUUUUGGCGUGGUCUCUCUCUCUCUCUCUCUAUUUGAGACACAGAUUUGAGUGUAGAGUUUAUGUAGAGAGUCGGCACGUAUUAAAAAGAGGUUUAUUACAGUAAGAGAGAGAGAGAGAGAUUUAGAGAAAACGAAUAAGAGAGAAGAAAACAAAGGUCAGUGUCGGUGGCUGGACCCACGAGGCACGAGCGACUCUGUGUUCACUUUGAAAUGUGUAUUUGUCUCCCCACAAUCCACAUGGCUAAGCAACUGGGUGCCAUUUUUUUUAUAUGAGCCCAAAAAACAAUUUAAUUAGAAACAAACCGAUUAUUUGUGGUAAGGUAAACUUUUUUAGAUAUUGGAUUACAAUUUGGAUUUUUCAACUUUGUUAUCGUUGGUGGGAACUGAUUACCGACUGUUUUGGAAGGGAAAAUAUGUGGACAUACCUAGCGGAUUUUAUUUUGUUGUCUUAAAAGAUUUCACUCUGUAAAUGUUUUUGAUGUAUAAAAACUGUUUCUAAUCUCUCAAAACAUUAAGCUAAAGGAUGCAUUUAUUGUAUUUGUACCAAAAGUUUUUGUUAGAAUAAAAUUUUACAUCCAUUCAAAAAAAAAAAAACUGUGGUAAAUAGAGAUUACUAUGGGUGUGAGUGGUUAAAAAAGUAGAGUAAAUGAAAAAAAAAAAGGAAAAGAAUAGAAAAGUCACAUAUUAAGAGGAAAAACAACAAAUUCUCUCUAGUUUUGAAAAGAGAAUAAUUGGAUAAUUCUUCUAUUUCAGUAAAAAAAAUUUUCUUCCAUUUUUUUUUUGACUGGUGUACUGUAUGUAGAUAAACUUUUUUUUUUCUUUUUCUUUUUUUGUUAGUGUUGACCAGUAAUACUAAUACCAUAUAUAUUGGGUUUGUAUAGUUGGAUUUGAGUCUUCCUUACUGUAUAAUACCUUCAGUCAAAUGUCACAUGUGCAUUAAAGGACAGAAGAUAAGGUCUUCCAAUUAUUCAAUGGAGACAGAAAUACAUACAUAUAUCCUAGUGUAAUUAUUCUCUAUUCAAUUAGUAAAAAUCAGACUCACGUUGGAAAAAAUAAACAAAACUUAGAGAACCCAAUAAACAGCUUAGAUUCAAUAUGUGACGUGAAGAAUAGCAUUAAACUUCGAAACGAAGAUAAUUCACUAACAAAAAAUCGGCCAUCAAAAAGUAACUUAUAUGCCUCUAUUAUUCGAAUAAAGGUCCUUUAAAGUUGCUAGAGGAUGAAGAAGGGACCCUUCCUGAUGGUUAAAUCAAAUUCGUUUGGAAGCUCAAUUCAAUUUCUUUGGCAUUUUCGAAUUUUUUUUUUCUUUUUUAUGUAACUUCAAUAUCUGGACAGAAGCAAAACUUCAGUCGUAAUUCUCAAUUUUUGGCUUUUAAUGAAUCUCUCUACCUAUUUUGCAAAAAAGAAGGAAAAUAUUGUAGAAGGAUCCAAAAGUAAUCAGAAGAAGAAACAAAAAAAACCUUACGUGUAGCUAUCAAAAAGUAAAACAUUAACUUGACAUGCGUUUACAUUUCCGGAUUUAUCGCCUCUCACUACUCUCGUACUUUUCUUUGUUAUGGGUCAUUAGCACUUUAAUAAAAACUAAACUCUCCAAAAAUUAAGGUUAUAAUUAGAAAUUUGCUACAAGAAGAUUAUAAUUGGGUGAGGAAGCGACGCGUCAGAGCAAUUUGAAAUUGCCGUGGGGUCCUAAAUUAUGGAAUAAAGUGUUGAUCUAGAUAGGCCUGUAUAAAUGACAACACUUUGAAAAGAUCACACAAUAAUACAAAAAAGAAAAAGAGAAAGAAGAAUAAAUUUUUAAAAAAUACCAAAAAGAUACAAAACGCGUACGGUGACUGUAAAAUGUAAUAAAGACACAUGGAUUAGGUGUUCCAUGUGUGGACAACAACAUUCGAAUUCUUAGUACAUUGAUAAGAACCAGAAACGGCAUCGUAUUUGGGUACAUUUUGUGCAGUGGCGUUAAAACCUGAACAAGAGUUGUGUUUUAUGGAUACAUUUUGCAUAGUACUAUUUGCUUUUUCUUUUAAGUUGCAGAACUGGUUGGUUAAAGAAAACUUAAUUAGUAGCAAGACUGACUAGUCUCAAUUGCAGGACAUUAAAAGGUUAUAUGUGGUUCGUCGGUCUCUUUGUUAAAAAAGGUUACUAAACAAAUUAAGCGAUGUUUUCGAUUUCAAGUAAACGUCAAUUAUUACUCAUGAAAACCAGGUUGACUUGAAAUGAGUUAGGUUAGAUCAGCUAGUGGUUGAGGUCAUUGAUGGCGUAAUACUGCUGGUUCAAGAAUCACCAACCAGGACCACUAAACCAGAGAACGAGCUGCAAAAACUUCUGUGCCAUAAGAGGCAAAACUAAAAAUUCUUUAGUAGGACAAAUUCUACAACUAUGGGCAUAUAAGUAUAACAGUUUCUAUACAGAACCAGUUUGGCAAUUGUCACAUCAUCCAUUGCAGUCUCAUAGCUUUGGUUUUUUUCUUUUAGUUUAGAAAUCCAGAGAUCCACAUUGUUUGCUCUCUAUAGAUUUUGCAGUAGACCUAGCCUUUGUGUCCUUCUGAUCAUUUCCGCUUCCUCGUGGUCUUCCAAUGCCCAUCUUAGGUAAACCACGGUUCAAUCCCUCCAACAAAACACAAGCUUUGCACCAUUUCUGCAUUAUCGUAUAAGAUCAUUCAUUCAAAAAGACAAAAGCACAUUAUAUUAACUCCAAUGCACAUCUUGUUACGGUUUGUUAGUUCAUUUCUAUAACAUGACUUGAUGUGAUAAAGAGAGAAGUCUCACCUGGCUAGAAAUAUACCCACAUCGCUCACACGUCCCUUGCUCAGGCAUUUUCGUGGUUGUCGCAAUUCUGAAGUCUUCACCAGAUUUGAUGAUAUCCAGAAUAGCCCUUGGUCUGUAGUUUGCAUAAUAGAAGCUGAAGAUUUACUUGCUUAUUUGGUUGUGGUGAAUAUAAACAGUAAAAGUUGACAAAGAACCUUGGUCUUUCCAAGUCUUUGAUGAACUCACGAGCGAACCCACGAUAAGCAUUAGGAGAGUAUAUGCCUGCAAUCGUAAUAAAUUAUUCAACUCCAAUAGAAAUGACCAAAUUAUGCAUUCAACUCGUAGUGGACUUUGAAUAAAAAGCUAGAGCUCGGUUCAAGUGAAAUUUAAGAACAGAAAAACAAAACUUUGAAAAUGCACAACUUACAUUCGGUGGAGAAGUAGUCCAGCUUCUUGAAAUAAGCAUACGUGUCGCUAUGUUAAGGUCUCACGAUAUCUUCUGUUGACAGUUAAAAGUUGUUUUGAGAAAGCAAAACAAAGGAUAUUAUAGCAAAGGAUAUAUGACAAUCUCCUUCUCGUAUGUAUAUUUGAAAGGUUUACAUCUUGGAAUUGGACCAUCUUCGCCAGUAGUGAUUGAUGUGCACCUACUCAAUCUACAAUAGCCAAAUUACAAAUCAAUCAAUUAAGGGACAUGAGACAUAUUAUAGCCAAGAUUCAAAAAACCAUCACUAGAAACAUAUAUAUUUACCUAGCAAUAUCCCCUCGCAGUAUGUUUAAGAGAACUGUUUCUGCUAUAUCAUCUGCGUUAUGUCCAGUGACUAGCUUAUCUACUUUCAAUAAUGCAGCUCCUCGAUCAAGUGCCUUCAAAAGAUCAAUCAGACAUGAAAUCAUAAAUCAGAAAAAGAUCGGUCUGAAGACACUUGCUCAAAGAGGGAAUGCUAUGAAGAAACUUGCUCCUCACCUGUCUACGAAAUACACCACAAAAGGUGCAAUUGUUCUUCAAACCGAUCAUCUUCACAAUCUCGUCCAUUGUCCAUCCAUACAGAUCUUUGUAUGAAACAAUCUGAAGAGGCAAUCCAUACUGCGAAAACGAAAAAAAAGAGACUCCUUGAAAUGACAAAUCAACACAAAAAAAAAUGAAAUUUUAGAGUGAACACAUUACACACAAAUUCAAAAGCUUACUUGAACUUCGUUCCUUUUAACAGUCUCGAGAGAAUCAUCACGAUAACCCGUUAUCCCUUCAUCAACAGACAAAAGAAAAAGAUCCAGCCCGUAAUUGUGACGUCUAUUUAGUUCUGAUAAUACAUAUGCCAGCACUGUCGAAUCUGCACGAGCACAAACAUUUUUGAGUUAUUGGCCACAAAAAGAAAGAAACAUACAGUUGGAAAAACAUUAUGGCGCAAACAUCAAAACUAAAACAGAGUGAUUCGUAAAAAUAUAUAAAGGUUCAAACUUUGAAGCUGAAACCACCAUUGGUGUGUGUAAAGAAAUUACCUUUUCCACCGGAAGCACCUAUAGCAACUCGCUCACCGGACUUAAAUAAACGAUUCCCAACAAUGACUUGGUGAAUCUCUUCCUCAAAAACCUCAUAGAAACACUCUCUGCAUAUCUUUAUACAAAACACUCACAUCAUUACUUAUACAUAAACAAAUUAACUAGCAGUAGAUUGAUAAACUAUGAUAUUUUCCAAUUCCGAAGAGUCGAGAUAUUGGCUUUACGCAAAAUGCCACAAGAGUAACACAACCAACGACCCAGCUCGACGCUUUUGAUCCUAAUUCAAAACUUACCUGUUGAAGGGUUUUGGGUCGUUUGAGGACGGGUCGUCUCUGGUUGCAGAUGCAGCAGAGACGAGACCCUCCUGCUUUCUUGCUCUUCGCUUCGCCUGCCUCCAUCUUCUCCGGUGAACGAAACUCUAGUCUGCGACCGGAAAAACGACCUAACUGGGAGUCAUAUUCAAAGAACGACGUCGUAUUUGGUUUCGAUAUCUAAUAAACUAGUCAUUAAUGGGCUUUUUAUCCCUUUUAUCAUAAAACAAACCCCACUUACGAGAUUAUAGACACCCACAAUGAUGAGCGUUAAAGACAUUAUUAACAAAGGAUGUGGUCCAUUAAUGGAAACUUUUUCGUGAUUAGCUGGAUCUCAUUUGAUCUUAUCAAAACUAGCAUAUAAGGGAUACGUUACAUCAGUUGAUCUACAAAAAUAUCCAAGUUGUUCCAUUUUCUUACACGUUUUGAGCAGUUGUGUCGACCACAAUGCCAAAUCAAUCACUAAAAAGAAGAGUCAUGACGAAUCAUGUUUCGUCUAUACCAACGCAUUUAAUUUACUAAAUACGAAUUUGAUUGUUAAUCAAACUGGGGUCAUGUGUACGGCUUUGAACAAUAGUUGAAGAUUAUCAACACAGAAAUUAGAUCAUGUUGCCUGAAGAAUAACUUACUUGGGCCGUUGGAUAACUCUUAUACUAUCAUUUAUAUCAUCACUUAACCAAAUGAAAAUAUUCAUAUCAUUAAAAUACCUUGAGAUCUUUUGUUUUUAAAAACCAUAUACAAGAGAAAACUGUAAUCAACAAAAAAGCCAACAAACUUACACAUCACAAAAGCAAAAGAUGAUCAACCAACACAAUAAAAAAUAACAA
Molecule: long non-coding RNA, 63950 nt
Filed under: Arabidopsis lyrata
Lineage: Eukaryota; Viridiplantae; Streptophyta; Magnoliopsida; Brassicales; Brassicaceae
Description: long non-coding RNA (ALYR_LNC002889)
Rfam family: MIR394 microRNA precursor family (bases 42380-42485)
Source: RNAcentral